RNAcentral lists this long non-coding RNA (50406 nucleotides) under Salvia miltiorrhiza (redroot sage). RNAcentral describes it as "long non-coding RNA (SMIL_LNC011427)". The record is from RNAcentral. Lineage: Eukaryota; Viridiplantae; Streptophyta; Magnoliopsida; Lamiales; Lamiaceae.
CCGUUGGGGAUGGUGGAGCCGACGGGGGCCAUGAAGAAGGUGAUGCCGUCAGCGGUGAGGUUGGUGGGGCUGGGUGUGAUUAUGAAGUUUACGGUGGUUUCAAAGUCGACUUGGCCGCCGGCUUGGGAGAACUGGACCGGGUUCGAGUGCAAGACCCGGCCGACACUGCCUAUCGUCGGGAAGGUGAGGCGGAGGAAGGGGGAGUUCCAUACGAAAUGGGCGUGGCCUUGGUAGGUGAGAUCGGUCGGCAAGUCGCUCCAGAAGUCGUAGGUGAAGGACGUCGAUUGGGACUGCGCAGUGUUGGCGGCAGCGGCGAGGAGGAGGAUGAUGGAGGAGAGGAGAGGAAUUAGGGUUUGGAGGAGCUUAGCCAUGGCUUAAUUGAGUAUAUUUAGAUGUGGUGGAUGAUGGUGGUAUCUCUUGCUCCUAUUUAUAGUGAAUAGUGUAUAGAGUAUAGUGUAUAUAUGCAUGAUAUUAUGAUUUAAUUUCCUAUGAAUUAUUGAACUUUCAUCAAAUUUUUAUUUUAUAUAUAAACUUCAAAUUAAAUGUAGCGUGAUAAUCACUAAAUUUAUUUAAUCUUAUAUUUGCUACCAAUCAGGAUUCUAGCCAAAUUNAAUAUAUUGGUGUGGGUCCGUGGACGUAGGCAGUUUGGCCGAACCACGUUAAAAAUAUCGGUGUCAUUUUUCUUCUCGUUUCAUAUCGGUCGAUAUCCACAAUAUUGAGUCACACUUGAUCCCGGGCGGAAUUAGUUGUGUCUAAUUUCCCAAUAACAAUCCUGGGCGGAAUUAUUGGCGUCUAUAAUUCCCAACAACAAUAUCAUGGAUGGCGACGUAUGGUUGGCUUAGUCCGCUGGCGGCGGAGAGCCCUACCUGAACCUGCUCGGGAAGAAAGCCGCUCAAAUCGUACUCAUAGAUGACCUCAAACGUCUUCGAGCCGGCGGUGGCACUGACGGUGAUCAUCUUCGUGGCUCCGACGUAGUUGAUCCGCGCAGUCACCUGCUGUCCGACUAAGGCGCCGUCGACCUCUGUCGUGUUGCGGGAUUCCCUAGAUCCGAUGUCGAUACCGAUGUGGGGGUAGUUCGGAUCCCACGGGCUGUUGACAUAGGUGUCAAACUCGACGGCGAAGACAGAUGGGCUAUUUCCGGGAGACUCCGAAGAUUCCGAGGUUGCCCCCGCUGCCGCCGUUGGGGAUGGUGGAGCCGACGGGGGCCAUGAAGAAGGUGAUGCCGUCAGCGGUGAGGUUGGUGGGGCUGGGUGUGAUUAUGAAGUUUACGGUGGUUUCAAAGUCGACUUGGCCGCCGGCUUGGGAGAACUGGACCGGGUUCGAGUGCAAGACCCGGCCGACACUGCCUAUCGUCGGGAAGGUGAGGCGGAGGAAGGGGGAGUUCCAUACGAAAUGGGCGUGGCCUUGGUAGGUGAGAUCGGUCGGCAAGUCACUCCAGAAGUCGUAGGUGAAGGACGUCGAUUGGGACUGCGCAGUGUUGGCGGCAGCGGCGAGGAGGAGGAUGAUGGAGGAGAGGAGAGGAAUUAGGGUUUGGAGGAGCUUAGCCAUGGCUUAAUUGAGUAUAUUUAGAUGUGGUGGAUGAUGGUGGUAUCUCUUGCUCCUAUUUAUAGUGAAUAGUGUAUAGUGUAUAGAGUAUAGUGUAUAUAUGCAUGAUAUUAUGAUUUAAUUGCCUAUGAAUUAUUAAACUUUCAUCAAAUUCUUAUUUUAUAUAUAAACUUCAAAUUAAAUGUAGCGUGAUAAUCACUAAAUUUAUUUAAUCUUAUAUUUGCUACCAAUCAGGAUUCUAGCCAAAUUUACUAUUGACAUUACAAAGUCGAGGAUAUCCUAAGAUGGAUUGAAACAUUAAGAUAUUCCAAGGAUCUUAAUAAUUUCUAUCAUUUGGCAUAAUUUUAUUUGAUUCAUAUCUCAUUGAAAGAAUAUGAUUUUUAUCCCCUCCGUUCACAAAGAUUGUAUGGUGAACUCAGGACAUGAGUUUUAAUAAAUACUUCUUCCGUCCCCAAAAUAACUUUCUAUGAGAGAGGGGCACGAGUUUUAAGAUAAAAUUGUUGAGUGUAUUCGAAGUGGUUAAAAAGUGUUAGUAUUGAAAGUGAUGAAAAUGUGUUAUAAUUAGUAUUUGAAGUGGUGAAAAGGUAAAAAAAUAGAGUAAAUAUAUGGAGUAUAUAUUAGUAGAAAGUGUAGAAAGAUCCACCAAAAUUGAGUGGAGAAAAAGAUCCACUAAAAUUGAUGUGUUAAAUGGUUGAAUAUUUUGUAAAUAUUGAAUGUGAAUGAUGUUUAAAAUGUAAGGGGCGUAGUUUCUAAAUAAAGAAAGCAUACAAUCUUUAUGGACAGACGAAAAUAAUAAUAAACAUACAAUCUUUGUGGAUUGAGGGAGUGAUAAACAUUUCAUUCAUUUAUUGUGGUUUGGAAUCGAUCUUUAUCAACAUUACAUGCAUUCACAAAUAUGAAGAAGGAUUUAAAACGUGUGACACCUUAUUUUAUAUUUAAAAUCGCAAUCACGAAGAGGACCACACUUAUCCUCUAAUCAAUGCUCUCCAUUAUUUUAUAGGAAAGGAUAAACAUGAUUCUUGGUUUAUUUAUGCUUUUAAUAUAUACAAUUAGAUGAUUUUUGGGGCAAAAAGUGAAGAUUUUGAUGUCCGACGGAGUCAAGUAAAGAAGUUGAAAAAAUCGAUUUUUGAUGCAAUUUUAGAAGAUCCAAAGAUGAUAAGAUCUGUGCUUGAGGGAACUUAUUUUGCAUAAGAAAGACUUUCAUUAAUUUCUUAAUUCGAGUAUAAAAUUAGAGGAUUAAAACCACAACUAAUGUUCCUUUGGCUUUUCCUUGAACAAUGUUGGGUAGCUAGUGAAUUUUCUUUGGUAAGUUCGUCCUUUUCUUUGACAAUGAGAAUUGACGUAAAUUGGAUUGUAUUGAAGAUUCUAGUAACAUUAUUCUAGUUUAUAUUUCAUGAUUUAAGGGCUGAAAAUAUGUAAGUAUGUUAAAGGCUAAAUUUUAGGUAAAUAAGUGCUCCAUACUUUGUUAAUAUGCCACUUUACAAAUAAUGUAUGUGUGAACUUGAAUUUGUUUUUUCAUUUAAAGAGAACUAAUAAUGAUAUCCAUUUCCCCCGUGAUGAUUCGAACCCCCAACUUAACAAUUACUGGUGAAACGUUUUAUCCAUGUGAUGACUCUAACCCCCCAAUUUAUAAUUAAUGAUUGGAUGGGAAGCGUAUUGAGGUUGUUAGUGAUUCUUCCAAGGUUAUUUUGUAACUAUGAACUAUCGAUUUUGUAUCAAUUGUACCCUGCAUUUGUUUUUUAGCUAGAGAAAAUAUGAGAAAAGAAAUGAGACAUUUAAAGGCAUAAAUUUUUGUUAUCCCUCAUUUUCUCAUCCAUCAAAGUGAACGCACCCUUAAAUGAUGAUUUGAAAAAAUAAAGUGAUUGUUUCUACGCUAAACCUAAUUGCGUUCGGCCUUUUUCGUUAUUUUAGUAUUUUCCUCAUUUAUUUUCAAUUCUGUUUCCUAUAUAUGGAUAUUUGAUGUAUGAGAAGAUGCUUUCAUAUGAUCCAUUUCAGAAAUAAAAUUAUUUAUUUUCUUUCUCACGAAGAGCGCUCACUUUGACAUCAGUAUCGCAUGAGCUGCACAUAAUUAAUGAAAGAAAAUAAGCAUACACUUGCAUUAUAUAAGAAGAGCAUAUAUACUCGCAGCCGUUUCUCAUAAAUUUCACGCAGUUUUUCGAUCUUUAGAGCCGCCGGCAUGCUCGGCCGAUCUGAAGCUCCAGUAGUCGAUAUCGUGAAGGGCGACGAGGUCGCCGGUGGAGGAGGCGAUUCCGACCUGAACCUGCGACGGAAGAAUUUCCCCCAAAUCAUACUCGUAUUCGAGAAGGCGAGUUUCUUUGUCGCAUUUGAGCGUAACGUCGAUGAAAUUGAUGCCGUCGUAUUGUAUGUGCAGCUGCGCCUCUUUCCCGAUGCACGAAUCGCCAAAUUUCACGAAGUUGCUCGACUUUAUCGAGCUGAUGUCGAUGCCGAUGUGCGGGAGAUCGUGGCUCGGAUCCCAACCGUUGGAGUAGAGGUCGAAUUCCACGGCAAAGAAGGCGGAGGCGGCCGGGCUAUCCCCCGAGGGGUUGAAUAGGCCUAGAUUGCCUCCGUAGGAACCCGGGGGGAUGGUGGUCCCCACGGGCGCCAUGAAGAAGGCGAUGCCGUCCGCGGCCGGGCCUUUUGUGGGGGUGAUGGUGAAUUUUAUGGUGGUAUUGAAAGAUACUACAAUUGAAUUUUCCCACAAUUUGAAGGGUUUGGAGUACAAUACGCGGCCGAUGCUCGACGGCCGUGGAAGGCCGUUGGCGUCGGUCUUGGUUAGCCGGAGGGAACGGGCGCCGUCGGGGACGUGGGCGUCGCCCUGGUAGGUUAGGUCGGUGGAGUUGGCGACGAAGGAGGUGAAGGUGAAGGAGGUCUUUUGUGAGGUCGCCUUGUUUGCUAGCAUUAGGAAAAAUGCUAUGCAAAAGAGGAGAAGAAUUAGGGUUUGUAGAAGCUUGGCCAUGGCUUGAUUUGAUGGGUGGAGUAUUAUUUGGAUGUAGUGAAUAGUGGUUGGCUCUCUAGCCCUAUUUAUAUUGGUUUAAUGCCACAUUCCAUUAUUAGUUUAAUAUAUUGUAGCUCACUAUUUUUUUUGAACUUUAUGGAGAAGGCAUGAGUUUUUUAAAAAAAUUGAGAAAUGUGUAUAAAAUGAAUAAAGAGGCUCACUAAAGUUGAUUUGGCAGGUAUUAAUAAAUUAUUUGUGUGAUGAGUUUUUUGUAAAUAUUGUGUGUGAAUGAGGGUAAAAUAUAAAGGUACAUAUGUCUUAAAAGGGACGGAAAUGACAAAUACUUAUUGUGGAUAAAGGUAGUAUAAUAUACGGAGUGUAUACUUAAGUUUAUCAAUUUUAUUACUAAAUUAAAUAUGGUUAAUUUAAUAUCAAUAUGCUUAUUAGUAAUUAGUAUUACUCCAUUCAUCCCAAAAACAUCAAUCUUUACUUAUUUUUUCGUUCGUCUCCAAAACAUCUUCCUAAUCUAUUUUUAUGUCCUGUAUUAAAUUUUCAAGCUAGUUUCACUCCCCAACUAUCGUUUAAAUUAUACAUACAUAUAUGGACGACUUGAAAAUUUGUUAAGGCAAUUGAUUAUGCCCAUGCCGUAUAGAAUCAAAAACCAUUCCUAAACAAAAAAUAGAAUAAUUAAGAAAAUAAUCUAGAAUAUAAAUAUAGAACUUAAAUUCUUUGCCACAAAUUUAAGUCAAUCAGCCGACAUAGUAAAUGUAUGUGUUUACAAGUAAUCAUGCCUUGUCUUGAGAUUCAAGUUGGCAAUUGAAGCAAAAUUUCUCACACAUAGCUAUCUACUCUAGCUAUGAAAUCAUGCAUUGUCUUGAGAUUUAAUUUGGCCCAUGAAUCCAAAUUUUGCAAUCAUGCCAUGUCUUAAGAUUCAAUUUGGCCCAUGAAACUAAAUUUCUUGAGCCUAUCUCUAACCUCUUUGAUAUUCAUAUAUAAUAACACCUUUAAAACACACACAACCCACUUCUAAAGUUCUACAUGUAUACACACGAACUCAUGCUUAUGUCACAAAUUAAGUUUUUCAAAAAUAAACUUUUCCCUAUUUGAAUUCCUUAUGUAUUCAGUUUGUUUUUAAUAUUUAAACUAUGUUAUUACAACAAAAUUAUCUAGCAGGGACAUGAUUUUAGCAACAUAAAAAAAGAUGUCAUAAAUUUCUUACUCCCUCCGUCCUCCGAAGCUUGAUCAACAAUUUCUUUUCGGCACGGAGUUUAAGGAGUUAAUAUUUUGUAUGUUAAUUAGUGUGGUAGGUGAAAAAAUGAAAAGAUGAAUAACGGGAAAAGUUGUUGCCAUAUAAGGAAAGUGAUCAAGCUUCGCGGAUAACCCAAAAAUGAAUACUGCUCAAGAUUCGCUGGAAGAAUGAAGUACAAUUUUAGGCAUAACAAAAAUUUAUUUACAUCCACACAUGCAUGCACCGAUACUUUAUCACAUGCAAAAUUACAAGUAACUUUGCUAAUUACAAAAAUUAAUACAUGAACCCUCAAAUGUCACUAGAUGUAAUGAUAUUUUUAUAUUUUUUCGACACACAUAAUAGUUACUCAUCACAAAAUAUCAAUAUUUUUAUCAUAUAGUGAUAUUUAUAAGUUUCACAAUUUUUCAAAUAUUAUGUCAAUGCUAGCUUAGACAUUUUGUUUUGACACUUUGUAUUGAAACAUGUUUUUUACAAAAAUAAAAUAAUUGAAUUUAUUAACGAAUAUUUAAACAAUCAAUCAAUAAUAACUACAAAGUGAAGCAAUUCAAGUUAAAAGGUAAAUUCUAAAUUUAAAUUUGAAAAACAAGAAAAUUCGAGCCUUAAUUUUUUUUAUUUUUUUAUAUACGCACUACAAAUCUCCCAUAAAUCUUAAAUCAAAAUUUAACCUUACAACAAAAAAUAAAUAUAUAAACUAAAAUGGAGUAUGAUAAUAUAGUUUUAUCAAAUUAUUUGAUAAUUCUAUUAAUAAAAGAUAAAAAAAAAAAUAAGGGGGGCCCACGGGCAUGCUGCCCCCAUAUGCUAUGGACCAUGGUGGCUAGGUCACUGCGCUCUCGAGAUCUACACUAUUUAUACGUGGUAUUCAUUGCGAAUUAUUUUGCAUUAUCUUUGUUUAUUUUUCUUAUAUUGGGAAAGAAAACAUGAGUAAUAUAUAGUAAUCUUUUAGAAGUCCAGUUACCAAUGUCGUCAAAAUUAUCUUGUCUAUUUUUAGAAGUUCAGAUAAACAUGCAACACAUUUUCAGAAGAAAUUUAAUAAUCUCUUACGAUUUACAUUUAUUUUUUAAAUAAUUAUCUCAGUGGUGAUAAAAUAAAAAAAUCGACUACAUUUUUCUAAGUAAUUUAUUAGAUACAAAAUAUUAUGAUUUAUGUUUGUAUAUUUUUUGUUUCCCAUUAGUGCAUUAUCAUUUCUAAGUAUCUUCUCACUUGUUCACUGAUUCACUAUUGGAUUAACAUGAAUAUACGAAUUUCAUAGUAUACCAACUGUUCGAUAAAAGUCCUAAAAGAAAUCUUCCAUAGAUAACCUUGCAAAUAACAGGAAACUAAAAUUACUCCCAAAGCAUUCCAUACAUAGAGAUGCGGAUUACCUUAUUCGUAGACUUAACGAGAGUACACUCGAUCGCUAGUCCUUAUUUACGACCCAAACUACACAUACAUUACAAAAUCACACAACUUGACGAAUGUUUCCACCGAGCUCCUUCCUGCUCUUGGCAGCGACGCCGACGUUUUGCACCAUGGUGGCCGUGAAAUACCACGCCACGAUGUCGUGUCUGGCGACGACUUGCCCCGUGGAGGCGGAGAGCCCGACUUGGACCUGCUCAGGAAGGAAGCCGCUCAAAUCGUACACAUAGCUGACCUCGAACGCUUUCGAGCCGGCGGUGACGUGGACGUCGAUCAUCUUCGUGGCGGCGGCGUAGUUGAUCCUUGCCGUCACCUGCUGCCCGAUUAUGGAGCCGUCGACCUCCGUCGUGUUGCCGGAUGACCUAGAGCCGAUGUCGAUGCCGAUGUGGGGAUAGUUCGGAUCCCACGCGCCGUUGACGUAGGUGUCGAACUCGACGGCGAAGACCGAGGGGCUGCUGCCGGAGGAGCCGAAGAUUCCGAGGUUGGAUCCGCUAGAGGAGGAAGGGAUGGUGGACCCGACGGGGGCGAUGAAGAAGGCGAGGCCGUCGGCGGCAGAGUUGCCGGGGCCAGGUGUGAUGAUGAAGUUUACGGUGGUUUCAAAGUCGACUUGGCCGCCGGUUUGUGAGAACUGGACCGGGUUCGAGUACAAUACCCGGCCAACUUUGGCGGUCUGUGCGUCGGUGAGGCGGAGGAAGGUGGAGUCCGACGGGAAAUGGGCGUCGCCUUGGUAGGUGAGGUCGGUCGGCUGGUCGCCCCAGAAGUCGUAGGUGAAGGACGUCGAUUGGGACUGCGCCACGUUGGCGGCGGCGAGGAGUAGGGCGACGGAGGAGAGGAGAGGAAUUAGGGUUUGGAGAAGCUUGGCCAUUGCUUAAUUGAUUUGGAUGUGGUGGAUGAUGGUGAUAUGUCUUAAGCUUGCACUCCUAUAUAUACUAGUGUAGUUCAUGCAUGAUAAUGUUGUUUAAUCAUCAUAUAUUUUAUUUCAUUAAAAUGAAUCACCUCGUCCAUUCGAGGUAAAUGAACCAUGUGAUCUUAUGUACUACCAGCCACAUUUUAAUUUGCUCGUUGGAAUAUUAUCUAUAGUUGUAUCUAUUGUAUUUGUAUAAAUGAUUUUUGGAAGGGAACUUAGAAAAAGUUCUUGAUAGGGGCUGUAUUUUUUAAUUUCAAGUGCAAAAUUAAGUUUUGAUAGACAAUUUACUUAUGAUUCAAUUUAACGAUCGGGUUUUCUGAAAAAAAAAAAUUCACACAAAAAAUCGAUUAUUUAAUAAUUUUAUAAGAAAAAAGAAGAAGAAGAAAUUUUCUAUUUAGGAUAUACACGAGCAGAUGAGAUCCUCUGUCCCACUAUUUUGUGUGUACCACCAUGUACCAUUCUUAAUUUAUUUAUUUUAGUAAUUAUUUUUUAUAAAAAUAAAAAUUAUUAUUAUAUUUUUUAUUUUCAUUUAAGUGAGUUACUAGAUUUAUUUGGGGUGAGCACAGGUUAUUUUGGAAAAGGAGAAUAUCUGUAAGAUGAUGUGAAAAUUAUUCAAUAUAAGCACAUAUAGGGGUUGAGUUCUCAAAGGAACUUAAUUAAUAUCCAAUGUGAUUGAUACAUUUCGACUAAAUGGAUGGACUGUGACGCCCCGACCAAAAGUAAAGAGUGAUUGUGAUCGGUGCACAAGGCAUGGAUGAAAAGCGGUUCCUAGUAAUGCUUCGAUACGGAGGAUACAUGAAUGAAUCGAAACACACCAGAAAGAGAGGGAUUCCAUGAGUACGUACGCAGGUAUAUGACUGCAUAUUCGAGGAGCUUAAAUAAUUUUAUUGGUGUUACUCAUAUCAACAAGAUGCAUCUUCUUUUUUGGUGACCAUAUGAAAUAAACUCCAAGGUUAAGCGUGCUUGGCGUAGAGCAACUUGAUGAUUGGUGACCUCCCUAAGAAGUUUAUCAGAAAGCGUGCUAGUAAGAACAAAACAUGCUAGAAAAGACUCAUAUUAGUCUGUGGGGACAGCCGUUAAAUUUGGAUUCGGGUCUUUACAAGUGGCAUUAGAGAUUAACCUCUCACAGUAUGGUGCGGUUCGGGAACGAACCAAGCGGAAGUUGGUACUCAAUAUUCCAUCUAUUGUGAGUUUCUUUGUCUUCUUCAUCUUUCUUUUACUCUGCUGUCGAGUUUCAGAGAGUAAUCAGAUAGGUUUUCAUUCGAGUUGAGUUUCUUGAGUGAUAAACUGUUAAUUGUGAGUUUCAUUCGAUCAUUUGUUGAUUAUAAAUAUCUGCACAUGGAUAUUGGUCAAUUUAGAUACACUGAUCUUCAAAUUGAUUGACGAAUCUUUAGAAUUCAAAAUUUAAAUCAAAUACGCGUGUUCAUAGUUAAUUGGUAAGUACACUUUUUUUUNAUAUAAAUAUAAUUGACUCGAGAUCUCUGCUACUUACGCAUACUUCGCUCGAGACAAAAAUAAAUAAUUGAUCAUUGAGAACUCCGCUACCACACCAUACUCGUGUACUAUUUAUCAUUGUUUAUGAUUAUUAAUAAAGACGUGUCUUUGCCUGAUAAAUUUAAUUUUCAUACUCUUGAUUCUUUUUUGGCCAUAUCAUUUUUUAAAAAAUUGGGAGGGGAAUGGUGGAAAUUGAAUAUGAAAAAUACCAGUCAAAUGAUACAUGUGCACUUUCAAAGACAAAACAUAAAUGUAACCUUCGUUUGUAAAACAUAGAAAUUCUACCAUAUAUUUGUGAUUAUUUUACCUUUAUACGAUCUAUUUAUAUAUAUUUAUUAGAAUUAAUAAAAAUAUACUACAUUCGUCCACGAAAAAGAAUCUCAUUGUGUGCUGGAUGUGAGUCGUAUCGAGAGUGAGAGGGAACACAUUGUCUCCGGUCUCUGCCGUCUUGGCGAGAUCUUCGGCAUUGGCCUGAUCCGGCCGCUGAGGUGGCCGGUAGGUCAUCCAUGGAGUAUGGCUAUAUUCAUACUCGUAUCCCAUUUUGGUUGUAGAACAAGAAGGCGGUGUUGUUGAAAUCGUCGUCGUUGAUAUCCUUUGGAAAACCGGCUGGGAUAGUUUUCGCCAUUAGAGUGAUGUGCGUAGAAGAGAGGAUCUUCCGGCGGUCUUCGCGGAAACCGUUGUCGCGUGUCCAUAGUUCAUGGAUUGAAAAUAUGCAGGUAAAGCACCCGGCGUACUCGGCCAUACAAUUAACUCGCCAUCAUGAGCUAUAAUUCUAUUCGAGUAAGUUCAAUCUCUAAUGAAUUAAUAUAUUUUUAUAAAUAUAUAAUUUGCAAAAUAACCUUAAAAUAAAAUAUGUAAUAAGGGUAAAAUAGGCAAUCCACAUGUUGUGCUCAAUGCUCUUUUUAUAUUACUAGGAGAAAGAUAAUUAAUGUUAUUUUAUCUAAUAAAAUAAAAAAUAUAAAUAUAAUAUUUAUUAUAUUUAAAUUUUUAAUUAACAAUUUUGUUUAUUUAAUUCUCUUAUCUCUUACAAUAUUUUUUUUUAGAAAAUCUAUUAGUUCAUUACUUCGACUAAAUAUAAUUUAUUGGAUAGAUAUAUUUAUUUAUAAGCCUUAUCAAUAGCUAUAGAUAUAUAUUACAUAGAUUUAAUGUAAUAUUUAAUGAAUCAAUAGCUCUUUUCUUUUAUAUUAGUAUAGAUUAUAUAGAUAGAUAUAUAUAGUGCAUGCAUGAUAAUGUUGAUUGAUCAUCGUAACUAUAUAAUUUAUUGCACUAAUAAUGAAUCACGUUCCCACUCGAGGUAUAUAAAAUGAAUCAUGUGACCUUUUCUACUACCCGACACAUUUUGCUCCUUGGAAUAUUAUUUAUAAUUGUGUCUAUUGUAUAGUGCAUGCAUGAUAAUGUUGUUUAAUCAUCAUAAAUCUUCAUGGCUCAUCCACCUCAUCCAAUCGAAGCAUAUAAUGAACCAUGUGAUCAUAUCUACUACCUGACACAUUUUGCUUCUUGGAAUGCUAGCUAUAAUUGUAUCUAUUGUGUGAAUGUAAGCAAAAGGGCGCGCACAAUUUUUUAUUUUUUUUUGGAUAGGUGACUCGCUCAAAAUACCUAUUGAAUUGACUCGUAAUCGCACGAGGUCAUUCUAGCGUAGUAAGCUAACCCAUGUCGUAUCUCACAAGGAAGAUUAAGCAGGACGACUAAUUUUGGAUUAUUUUUAAUCAAAUGUUGGAUAUUUUUUAAUUAGAGUAAAAUUAAAAUAAGUAAAUUAUUGUAUAUUUUCAGAUUCGGAAACUAAUGGCUUUAUUUUAAUUUAAUCAUUUUCAUAUGUCAGUUAUAUUAUGUAAAUGACGUUUUUAGUAACAAACAAAUGACAUUUUAAUCAAUAAAUGAUACUUUUAUCAAUAAUAAAUGAAACCAUAUUAAGGUAAAUAGGGUAAAGGUUAGACUUAACUGUGAAAGCAUCAUGAGUUUUAUGUGUAACAUUUUCGGUGUGAAAAUUGAUGAGUUAAAAAAAAUGCUCCAUAUUGAAUUCGACAUUAGAUGAAUCUACAGUAGAUUUUCAUGCAUGAUCUAAGAGCUGAAAAUGAUUCACGGUCUAUAUUUAUUCUAUCAAAUUCCAUAUCACUUUAAAUCUCAAAUUACAUUUGCACUAUAUAUGAUUAUAUCCUAAAUUAUCAUAAAUAUGAACCGCUUAAAUCUGGCGUCGUUGCACCGCGGACAUCUUGCCGCUGCUUUCUCCCACCAUUGCCCUUGCUGCCCUCAUCUUAGGUGCCAAUUUUUUGCUCGUCGUGCAGAAUUUGAAAGGGGUAAAUUAUUUUUUCAAUUUUUUAUUGCAUUUUGCUGUCUAAGUUGAUUUCUCAAGUAAAGUGGACUUGGGUUUUGUUUCGAUUAUAGCUGAAUUCGAUGGCGCUGUGUGGUUAGAUCUGUAAUUUUGACGUGUUGUUGAAGUGUGCGGGAUUGAAUGUGAUCUGGGAGAAUUUAAGGGUUUUGGGACGUUAGUAUGAUGAUGGUGGGAUUUGAAUGAAUUUGAAUACCAGAUUAUGGUUGAUGUUUAAUUAUGUGAAUCUUGCGAUCUGUGUUGAAAUUAAUGUACAGUAUCUUCGCCUAGCCGGGGGUUCACCAUUUGGUUCCCGACCGUCCUGCUGCCUUCACUCCACACUCAAGUGCCAAUAUCUUCUUCUCGUUUCUCUUCCUUCUUCUUCUCCUCUUAGUACCUGCAAGACAGAAGGAAAAACCAGCAAGUAUAAAGAAAAAUCAGAAAACUUAAAGAAGUAAAGAAAGAAAGAAAACAAAGGAAACUCGAGGUGGGAAAAAGGUGUCCUCGGGACACAGGUGGCUCAGAUUUUUCCCACAGUGGCAACACACUCCGGCAGCUCAAAGACCACGGCACAAAGGGGAAGGGAAGUCAGAUCGGAGCUCAAAUCUGACGAGCACAGCCACCAAUAAUCAGGAAUCCGGUGGACAGGAUUCCGGCGGCUCAGAAAUCCUUCGCUUUAUCACCAAACAGGAAAUCUAAGGUCAGCAAUCCGACAAUAAUGCUAUCAACAGGAGGAAGCUCUCACUUUACGGCCACAACACCGGAAACCAGAACGGAAACCAGAGAACAGAAGGAAUAGCAGAGCCUUCAAGGUUGUGAACAUACUACAGAACUUCCCCCAAUCGAUUGCUUUAUAACCGAGACAGAGAAGGGUCGGGAAGAUGUAGUGGGCUUUGGGAAGGAGGAGGAAGCCAUUAAUGGUGGUGGAGCUCGAGGGAAAGCGAGAUCAGCAGUCGUGAAGACUUAGGGUUUGGGAGGGGAUUUGAGGUGGAGCGGCGGAGGUUGAAAUGAGGGAAAGGCCGAGUGAGAGAGGGAGUAUUUCAGUGGAUAAUGGGCUAGGGUAUUUUUGAGUUAACGGGCUAUAGGUGUCUGGGCCCAAAAGUUGGGCCAGAGAAGGGAUAAAGAGCAUUGGGCCAACAUUCCACAAUUAAGACAAUUAAGAGUAGAAAUUCUUCUUGAUUUGCUAAUUUAUUUAGGAUUAGCGAUAUUAGUUUGGAGUUUUAGAUGUCGAUUGAUUUCGUGAUCUUGAUUUAUGUGAUAAAUGCCUCUCAUCACUAAGAUUUGGAAUAUAUUGGAUAUCUAGGAUAGUGAUAUUAGUUUGGAGUUUUAGAUGUUGAUGUGUCUUUUUAGGCUGCGUUUACUUUGAUGGAUAAAUUUAUAUAUGGAAAAGGAUGGAUAACACAAAUUUAUGCUUUUAAAUGUCUCCUUCCUCUUCCAACAUUUGACACAAAAAGAGAUGCUCGCUAUUUUUUCUUCCUUAUCUUCACUUCAAGGAUGGAUAAUAUUAUCCCUCCAUUUUGGUGUGAUAAUAUUAUCCAUCAUUGAAGUGAAGAUAAGGAAGGAAAAAUAGUAGAGCAUCUCUUUUUGUGUCAAAUGUUGGAAAAGGAAAGAGACAUUUAAAGGCAUGAAUUUGUGUUAUUCAUCAUUUUCCAUAGAUAAAUUUAUCCAUCAAAGUAUACGAAGCCUUAUGUGAUAAAUGCUUUUUUAGGGGGGCCCACGGGCAUGCUGCCCCAUAUGCUAUGGAGUAUGGACCAUGGUGGCUCGGUCACUGCGCUCUCGAUUGCGAAUUAUUUUGCAUUAUCUUUGUUUGUUUUUCUUAUAUUGGGAAAGAAAACAUAGAGUAAUAUAUAUUUUAGAAGUCCAGUUACCAAUGUCGUCAAUCUCGAGUGAAAAUAAAUAUUACCAUAACACAAAAAUGACAAAGCUAUUGAUUAGUGACGAUAUGUUAGAAGUUCAGAUAAACAACACAUUUAUUCUUGUGUAUAUUAUAUUAACGUUUAUUAUAUAUUAUAAAAAGAACAUAUUCUUUCAAAAUUAUCUUGUCUAUUUUUAGAAGUUCAGAUAAACAACACAUUUUCAGAAGAAAUUUAAUAAUCUCUUACGAUUUACAUAUAAUUUUUAAAUAAUUAAUUAUCUCAGUGGUGAUAAAAUAAAAAAACGAAGUAAUUUAUUAUAUACAAAAUAUUAUGAUUUAUGUUUGUAUAUUAUUUGUUUCCAUUAGUGCAUUAUCAUUUCUAAGUAUCUUCUCACUUGUUCACUGAUUCACUAUUGGAUUAACAUGAAUAUACGAAUUUCAUAGUAUACCAACCGUUCGAUAAAAGUCCUCAAAGAAAUCUUCCAUAGAUAACCUUGCAAAAGUACGUGUAUCUAUAUUAAUAGAAUAAGAGCCUAAGGAAUCUUAAAACACAAUUUUUGGAUUGCCUAUUUUACCACUAUUAUAUAUUAUUUUAAAAUUAUUUUACAUAUUAUAUAUUAAUAGGAAUAUAUUAAUUCAUUAGAUAUUACACUAAAUCUAUGUGAUAUAUUUCUAUAGCUAUUGAUAAGGCUUAUAAAUAAAUAUAUAUCCAUCUAAUAAAUUAUCUAAUAAAAGUAAUGAAUUAAUAGAUUUUUUAAAAUAAUAAAUUAUCAAAUAAAAUAACAUUAAUUACACACGUACGUUCUUUCUGCUAGCUAGUUAAAUAAAAAGAAGAAGAAACUGAGACUGAAAAAGGGAGAAUUAAGAUAGUCCAUUAUUAUCGUCUUAUUUUUAGAACUUAAACGAGAGAAAAGUCCAUCGCUAGUCCUAAUUUACAACACAACACAACACAUGAUAAUAAAUUUAAAUCACACAUAUUGCCGGAUGUACCCUUCCUCCUCUUUGCCGGCGGCGGCAUGCACGAGGGUGGACGUGAAAUACCACGAGACGAUGUCGUGCACGGCGUCUUGGCCUCCGGUGGCCGCGGAGAUCCCGACCUGAACCUGCUGAGGAAGAAUGGCGCUCAGGUCGUACACAUAGCUCACCUCGUAUGUUUGCGAGCCGGCGGCGAGGCUCACGCUGAUCAGCUUAGUGGCUUCCAGGUAGUUGAUGCGCGCAGUCACCUGCUGCCCGAGCAACGCGUUGCCGACGUUGGUCACGUUUUUGGAAACAUUAGAUUCGAUGUCGAUCCCGAUAUGGCGAUAGCUAGGAUCCACUCCGGGGUUGGAGAAGACGUCGAAUUCCACGGCGAAGACGGCGGGGCCGACGCCGGAGGAGUUGAAGAUUCCGAAGCAGCCGCCGGUGAAGCCGAGGGGUAAGCCGACGGGGGCGAUGAAGAAGGUCACGCCGUCGGCGGGGUUCGUGUCGCCUGCGUUGGGGGUUACGGCGAACGUCAGGGUGGUCUCGAAGUCGACCUGCGCGCCGGCCUCCCAGAACGUGAUCGGGGCUGAGUACACGGCCCGGCCGACGCUGUACUGGACCGCGCUGCCGGAGCUGGUGGUGUUGGUCAUGCGGAGGAAGGUGGAGUCCGACGGGAAGUGGGCGUCGCCUUGGUAGAGGAGAUCGGUCGGCUGGUCGCCCCAGAAGUCGUACGUGAAGGCUGUCGAUUGGGACUGCAUGCGCCGUGUUGGCGGCGGUGGCGAGGAGGAGGGCGAUGGAGAUUAGGGUUUGGAGAAGCUUGGCCAUGGCUUAAUUGAGUUAGUAGUAUUUGCUUUGGAUGUGGUGUGAUGAUGGUGUAUUGGUGUUAACUCUUGCUCCUAUUUAUGCUAGUAUAGUGCUUGAAUGAAAAUGUUAUUUAAAUUAACAUCAUAUUUUUUAUUACACAAAAAUGACUCACCCCAUCUUCUCGAGAUUAACUGAACUUGUGAUCUCUAAUAAUUUAUAACCUACCACAUUGUAGUUGUUGGAGUAUACUCCCUCUGUCCCGGUUUUAGCACGAGUUUUAAUAAAUUGGUUGAUUGUAUUAUGAGUAGAAUAAGGAUAAUAUUUUUUAUGGAAGUGUUAAAAUAAUUAAAAUUGAGAAAAUGUUUCACCUAUUUUUAUUAAAAAUAGAAAUGAAUUUUAAAAUAUGGGACGACGGCCAGAAAAAGAAAAUAUAUAUGGAUACUAAAAGUUGGGACGGAGUGAGUAUUAUCUAUAGUGGUAUCUAUUGUAUGAGUACAAGAGAUUUACUUGACUUGUUGAGGUAUGGAGAGAUUAUUACAAACCACGUGAAAUUGAGUUCUUGCUCCCACUGUAAAAGCAAUAAAUAUAGGGAAAAGAAAAUUAAUACUUCCUUCGUCCAAGAAAUGAGUACACAUAUUUCUUUUUUAGUCCGUUCAUGAAAUGAGUACUCAUUAAUUUUUCUUUUUAUCAAGUGUACCUCACACAACCCUUUAAUUAAUUAAUACCUUUAAAAAGUGGGUCCCUUAUUCCACUAACACCACACUCAAUCAUUUCUUAAAACCUGUAACGUCCCCAAAUGAGAUUCAUUUCGUGGAUUGAGUAAAUUCUAUACUACAAAUUAAUGGUUCGAAUUCACUUUAAAAAAUAAACUACAAUUAAGAGUCCCUCUCUUAAUUGGAAUUCAUAGACCAUCUGCUUCAGUCGUGCCCGAAGACAGAAAAGGUUUGGAUUGGAAUUCAUAGGUGGCUAGGGAAUAAAAGCAGUGUGGCCUCAAUCAUUGAAGCACACUUCGAUUUGUUCACAAAUCUUGACAAAGGAAAGGAAGGUCGAUUUUUCUAGCGACAGUAUGGGUCUAUACCAUUUGGUUGCUGUGGAAAUGACGUAACGAGAGCAGAUUUGAGGGCAAGACUUGGGAGAUCAAUGACGUGAUCGAAGAAGUGAAAGUGAGGAUGUGGAGUUGGAACAAGAUUUUUGGACUACAUGUUAAAGAGAUUAGCUCUCAAUCUUGGUUUUCUUGUGAAACUCCUCUUGUUUUGUGUAAUUUGGUCGUAUCUCUGGUACCAAACUCUCUCCUAAUAAAAUUUCUUUUCUGAUUAAAAAAAAAAAAAAGAGUCCCUCUCUUAAUCAAGUAGACUGGAUGCGGUAAGAGAGAAAUCACUUCCAACUUAUCGAUUUUACUAGCAACAACUAGAUUUAUACUGAAGCUAAAUUGGAUCAGACUCUAGGAUUCACUAGUCUUUUACUCAAGGUGAGUCGGUUUACGAGUCUCAAACUCAAGGUGAACUAGAAUGUCUGUCAAUACGAACGUUGGGAGUUCGAGGGUUUUUUAGGACAGUAACUUAGAUUGAUUUGGAAAUUAGGACAAUAACUUUCGGACUUGUAAAAAUAGGACUCUAAUUCUUUUUAAGAGUAAAAUAGGACACUAAUUAAUAAGUGUUACAUCCGCAGGACAUUUUUCGGCCAAUUAUCGGCCGAGAAAUGUCCUACUUUUACGACGCUUAUUAAUUAGUGUCCUAUUUUUACAAAUUCGAAAGUUUUGUCUUAAUUUUCAAAUCAACAUAAGUUAUUGUCCUAAAAAAUCCCCUGACUCCGAACGUUGGAACAAGCUCGGCAAUAUACUGCUAUUCAACAUUAAUGGCACUUUGCACUAAAUGAAUUGGUGUCGAAUUAAUACAUCGUCUUGCUGCUCAUAUCUAUAUAAUAAAUGCAUACCUGCACCUCGAUAUUAAUCAAUUUAGAUACACUAAAUCUCGGAUAUACUUAACAAAUGGAUUAAUAAAUGUAUAAAUUUUAGAUUUCAGAAAAUCAAAUACAGGUGUUCAUAAGGAAAUGAUUAAAAACCCGUGUGUCAUUUAGAUAAGAUUAUUAUAGUACAGUUAACGAUGGUGAAAUAUUCUUUUACAUUAGAUAUAAUAGCAUUCCAGAUCUCAAUGGCAUUUUUUGUUAUAACAAAAAAAAAUUGUAUAUGUUCCAUACUAUCCUCAAACUUCAAAUUAUUAUUUUUCUUUAUUUUAAAAUUUGUAUUGGCACAUAUCUGUCAAUUAAUCAAAUUCAUAUCAAAACAAUAAUUCGAAUGAUAUAUUAGUUGGCUAGCUAUAAAUUACAAAUUAUUAGUGAUUAGGCAUGUUUUACACAAAUUAUUAGCCCAAACAACAUUUGAUUGUGUGCAAUGCACACACUUACUAAAAGCAGAUGUGAUCAUCUGUCCCACAAUUUAGUGUGUAUCACCGUGUACCAUUCUUAAUUUGUCUAUUUUAUAAUUAUUUGUUGUAAAAAUAAAAAAAAUAUUGUUAUAUUAUGAACUCUAAUUAAAAUUUAUAACUAAAAAUAAAAAUUAAAAAAAAUUAUAUACCCUAACUUUGAAUUAAUUAACCCAAAUAAUCAAUUAUUAAUUCAAAUAAAUAUAAAAAAUAAUUAUAAACUCUAAUUGAAUGAGUGAACCCUUAUUAAUUAGUUUCUUAUUAUAUUAUAAUAAAUUAAAAUUGAAGAAAAUAUAAUUAUAUAUUAUAAUAAAUUAAGAGUGGUACACGGUGGUACACACUAAAUUGUGGGACAGAUCCAUGUGCACUAAAUUAUAGGUACGGAGGUGCGGAUGCGGGGGCGAUACGAUACGAGUACGGGGAUACGGGUUCUAAAAAAUUAUAGGGUGCGAUUCGGCAAGGAUACAUCUAAUUAUUAAAAUUUUAUGAUAUACUAAUUGUUAGAAAUGGAUAUUGGGCCAAUUCCUCCCUUAAAAGGCCUUAUAAGGGAGAGGGUUACCUCACCAUAUAAAGUGGCUCAUGCCACUAUCUCCAAUCCAAUGUGGGACACUUCAAUACUAAUGCUUAUAAAAUAUAUACAAUUUAAAUUUUCUUAAAUUAAUUAUAUGUAAUUUACAUUUUAUUUUACCCAAAAGUUAAGCAUUUUCAAUUAUAUAAGUUAAUUGAGCAACAAUAUAACGAUUCAAAUAUUAUUAGUCCAAUAUAUAAGUCAUAACUGAAAAUAAAAUUAUCAAAAUAACCUUGUGUAGGCCUUUCGUGCACGAGAUACGUGAAUUUCGCCUAUGGAAUUUGCAAAUCCGGUUUAUUUUUAUAAAUUGUUUUAAAAGAUACGCACUGGUGAAUCGGUGCGAAUCCGACAAGAAUUCGAGAAAUCACACCCUAAAAGAAUCCGAUUCGCCGUACAUCUAAUUUUUGAAGAAUCCGUGCAUCAUAGGUGAGAAGAAACACAAGAGAGUAAAAUGGUACAUAAUGUAGAAAGACUUUUCUCCAAAAUAAAUGUUACAGUCUUCUAAUAGUCGAAAGGCGCAUGAAAAUGCGCAGUUAUUCGAAAGAAAGGAAAGGCUUAUUCAGCCACACAAUGACAUGGAAUUCGAAUUGAAAUUGAAAUUCAGACAAAUCCCAAACACGGUGAUGCAGAGAUCAAGCGGUAACACGAGGAAUGAUCUUAAUACCACCGAUGGUAACUUCGUCGCCGUUAAUGUGGGGAACGAUGGUGACGACAAUGAAAUCAUCAUCAGCAAUAUUGAUGUUCUCAUAGAGCUCCCUCAAGUUCAAGCGAAGGUCGUUGGCGCUUUCCGCAGCCCUAACCCUAUGCGGAAUCUGCGUGAAACUGCCGGCGAACUCGGCCCUGGCGAGGUCCUCUGGCUUGUCGUCUUCGUCAUUCACGAACACAUCGAACCUCACGAGCUUCGAACUAUCGGUGAUUAUGUUCUCCAGCACGAGCACUUCGUCGGCUUUGCCUUUGGUUGGUUUGGGCACCAAAACCCUGUGAGUCUUGUUGAGAGUGAGAGGGAACAGAUUGUCUCCACUCUCUGCCCUCUUGGAGAGAUCUUCGAUAUUCACCGGCACCUCCCUCCGCGGUGGCCGGUAGGCUGUCCACGGAGUUUCGCUGUGUUCAUACACGUAUCCCAUUUUGGUGUGGUCCAAGCAGUCGGCCACCUUGACGCGCACGAGGUUCUUCUUCUCGUCGUAGAACAUGAACGCCGCGUUGUUGAAAUCGUCGGGGUUGGGGACGACGAGGUCGUUGAUAUCCUUGGGGAAAACGGAUGGGAUAGUUUUCCAUAUGGUCCACAUUCUGUCGACGUUAGCGUGAUGUGCGUAGAAGAGAGGGUCUCUUCCGGCGGAGUAGAAGUUCCCCAUGUCUUCGCGGAAAUCGUUGGCGGGGUUUCCGGUCCAGACGUGGACGCCGCCGUGUGAGCCGCCCUCCGACAAUCCUCCCUUGGCGCGUGGCGGGGGCAAGUCCCCGGAAACGUAAGGAUCGCCCAUGAAGUCGAUGGCGGAUUCGACAUCACCAAUCAUUUCCUUGUACAUCUGAGUGAGAUUGUUUUCGAUGAUCGUUACAGGAUCGGUGAUCGGGGGGGUGGUUAUGGCAAGAGCAACGAGGGCCGGGGGGCGAUGCGUUGGGUCGCGGUUGACGUCGUAGAGCGGGGAUUCUUCCCUGUCGAACGGCCUGGGCAUCUGCAUACCCCUAGGGUUGUCCCAGUUCCAGUAGGGCAGGGCGAAAUCGGGAUCUCCGAUGAGUUCGCCCAUGAUCCUCUCGAAGAAAUAGAGGUACCACCUGUGGAAGGGGUGGAUCCAGAAUUUGUCAUUAGGAGGGACUAAAUUUGUUGAAGCAUGACGUCUCAAAUUAUUAGCCAAUUUUUUUUAGCAUUCCAUACAGUUCAUUUUUUUGUCGAACUACAUUCGAUUAAUUCAACAACAAGAACAUUGAAAGCAUAUAAAUACUUACCUCUCAAAAAUUGUUUCAUCUUCUAAGAAGAUAAGCUAAUUUUCAUCAUGGCAGUUCAUAAUUUUAAUUUAACUUGAGGAUUGACUCAAAUUCAACACUGAGAAUCAACUAAGAAAGGAAAGUAGACAAAAAUAACAUAAAUUUAACAAACUAACAUAUCAAAUUUAAAUCACUAUAAAAUAUUAAACAGUUAAAACGUGGAUACUAUAAUUAAUAAAACAAUGUAUUUUAUUAUCUCUUGUAUUUCUUAUCUAUACUAAUAGAAAAAGAGUCUAAGACAGUCUAAGGCACAACUUGUGGAUUGCCUAUUUUACCCUUAUUAUAUAUUUAUUAUUAUAUUUACAAAAUAUAAAUCUAUUUUGAUAAAUAUUUAUUUGUCACUCAAAUCUAUAAAGAAUACUUUAUAUCUAUAGCUAUUGAUAAGGCUUAUAAAUAAAUAUAUUCAUCCACAACGUACGUUCUUUCUGCUAGUAUAUAAUAAAAACAAAAACAAAAAACUCAAAAUUUGGGAGGCGGUCGAUCCGCUGCUAACCUGUGGAAAGGGAAGAAGAUCCAUGAGUUGUGAACCUGGAUAUCGAUGCCGGGGUGGUCCACCUGGUCGUAGGGGCCGUUGCAGUAAGCGCAGUGGAUGUUGGCCUGCUGAGUGAAGCCACGGGGAUCGUCGGGGUCCGUCACGUCCAGUUCCUUCAUCUUCUGGAUGGCCAACUCAUACUUGCGUACGUAUUCCGGUGUCAGCCUGUGCGCCGCCGGCCUAACGCGAGGUUUAGUGAACCUCGGAAGCUUGUAGUCGCUCUGAACGUCGGUGUAGGGCGGGCAGCAGUUGACGUCUAGAGAUAUUACCUCUUGGUUUCGAGUGGUGUAGGCACCUUCGGGGUCGCAGGUGCUCAGGUCAGGAGGCAAAAUCGGAAGCGCCUCAGCUUUGCGGAUGGCGCUGCCUGCGCCGUAUAGACCGCCCAGCCCAAGCAGCAUGUUUCUGCGGUCUAUACGGCCGCUGCCACCGCCACCGCUGCUGCAUGACACCUGAAAGCGGCCGUGGCUCCGCCGGCUGCUGAGCUGGGAGGGCUUGCGAAAUGGGGAGUUGGUGGCGGCGGCGAUCGCCGUGAAUGAAGAUUGAAGGGAAGCCAUGUUUGAGUGAUUGAUUGAUGGUCGUUGUGAUUACCUGGGGAGGCAUGUCUUUAUAUAGCAGAUGUGACACGAGUUUUAAGAAAAAUAAAUUAUCCGUUGAAUAAUUAAAUCGCCAUGUUUCUAUAAUUUAUUCCUAAUGGAUCUAGUCAAACUAAUCGUGCAAUAUUUAAUAAACCACGCAGCAUCAUUUCCGAGACUAAUAAAUGACAUUUUGAACCAGCUAAUCAAUUCCAUAUAAUUAACCAUUUGCGAGGCUGGCUGCCCUUCACUAAAUGGUUGUAUGCACUUGUCUUUGGAAAAGCUGUUUGGCCAUAUUAUGGCCAGUCAUAAUAUGGGAAAAUAUUAUAAAAGUCAUGUAUUUAAUUUUUUAUAUUUAAAAUAAAAAUAGGAUUUUAUUAGUUUUAUUUUUUAUUACAUAUUUUAGCUAUUUUUUUUUAUAAUUUUUCUGAAUUUUUUAGAAAAAUAAAAAAUAAAAUUACAAUGUGAACAAAAUUAUAAAACUAAUAAUGGUAGAGCAGCGGAGGGCACAGGUGAAGGGCAUGGCGGCGGUGUACUUAUUUUAGUCAAGUAAUUAUUAUUGCACGAAAAAAUAAUUAUUAAUAUAAAGAAAGAUAAUGUUUCAAAGACAUUAUCUUUCUUCAUGUCUAUUAAUUUUUCAUCACAAUAAUAAUUACUUCGAAUUAUCCGUGUUUUCAAUCGUGCGACCUGCACCCAGCCCGACCCGACCCGUUUCACCCAUAUAGUCAGUCUCACCCAAGUUUUUGCCUAAAGAUAAGUAUUAAUUAGUUGUGUAUGGUGAUAUGAGUCUUGUUUGUAUAAAUUAGUAGGCCUUUAAUAAUGAAUUGGCCCAUCUCAGGUGGUUUAUAUAAUUUACUCGUAUGGAUCUAAAUACAACUAAUCAUGAAAUAUUUAAUAUACCACGGAGCAUCUUUCUGAUAUACUAUUUAUAUAGUAAUUUAUUCCUAAUGGAUCUAAUCUCUGACUAUUUAAUAAUUAACUCGCCAUCGUUUAAAUAAUUUACUCCUUAUGGAUACACUCAAAGUAAUCGUGCAAUAUUUAAUAUACCACGCAGCAUCAUUUCUCAUACAAUAUUUUGGACCAUCUAACCAAUUACAUAUAAUUAAACCUUUUGCCAGGGUGGCUGUCCCUUCCACUAUAUGGUUGCAUGUAUUGAAUUGAAAUUUUAUUGAGGAAAAAAUGAAAAGAAAAACUAGGAAUUCAUUGAUAGCACGAAGACGCUAAUUAAGGGCUGAGCCUCAUCAAAACCUUUCCGAUAAAAAUCCAGUGAAAAAAACCACCAGCAAAGGAAAAAGAGUACCAGUCUAUUACAAUAAAAAAAUGAAGAACAAACUCAAGACAGGAACAACGAGAAGCACGAGAGGAUGAUAAAACAUCUAACCCGAAAAAAAAGACCCAAACCAAAGGAGCCUGACAAAUCCGGAGCCAGUACCAGCGCACCAGGAAACUGAAAAAGUUCUGGAGAAGCCACUUCGACCCAAGCACGCCAACCAUCCAAAAGAAACGACUACCACACCCACACCUAGGCCAAGAAAUAUAUAAUAUUGUGAAUAGUUCCCAUGGGAUCGAAACAGACCACCAAAACAAGAAAAAACCUCUAAGAGCAGACUACUCAUUGCCUGCCUGCCUAGUAUUCGAUGAAAUACCCAAACCAGAAAUCAUAGCAUAAAGCAAAAACCGCCACAGCUGGGGAGCGAAGAGCAGAAGGCCACCAAUAAGAUACAUUAGGAUUGCGCAAAGUCUGACAAAGAAAUCAGAAAACUUACCAGACCACUCUAGUUAAUGUAAUCUAUACAUGUCCGCACAUGAAAUUUGGUCAAGUUAGAUACACUAAUCUCAAAUCUAUUUAAUUAACAAAUUGAUUGAUUGAUAUUUUUUUCUGAGAGAAAUUGAUUGAAUAAUUUUUAGACUUCAAAAACUAAUAGUUAAUUGAUUGUUUAGAUAAGAUUAUUAUUACACUUUUAUAUAGAGAUAAUUAGUACUUGAGAUAUGUGCAAUUUACGCAUUCUUCUCUCGAGACAAAAUAAAUAUUAUUGACCAUUGAGAACUCUGCUACCACUACUCCAGUUCUAUUUAUUAUCAGUGUGCCCUCUCGCGCGCUGCACGGGUCACAACAUAUUUGAUUAUUUAAUUUUAGCUGUUUACGCAUACUUCGCUCGAGACAAAAAUAAAAUAAGAUUUAUUGAUCAUUGAGAACUCAGUACCACACCAUACUCGUGUAUACUAUAAUAUUUAUCAUUGUUUAUGAUUAUUACGUGUCUUCGCCGAUAAAUUUAAUAUUCAUUCCUUUAAUUUUUUUCUAUUGACAUUGGAAACUGUCUUGAUUCUUUUUUGGCCAUAUCAUAUAUUUAAAAAAUUGGGAGGGGAACGUGGAAGUUGAAUCUGAAAUAAGAAUCAAAUGAUACAUGUGUACUUUCAAAGAUAAAACGCAAAAUAUAUCAUUUUUUUGUAAAACAUAUAAAUUCUACUAUUUAUGAUUAUUUUAAAUUUAUAUAAUCUAUAUUUGUAUGUAUAUAUAUUCUCCAUUUGUUCAUGAAAAAGAGUCUCAUUGUAUGCUGAAUACGAGUUUUAAUAAAAUGGUUGUAAGUGUGAAAUAAAUGUAUAAUUUGUAAGAGUCUUUACAUUAGAUUAUAUUUUACUCUCUUCGUCCUAUUGAUAAUGACUCACUUUUCUUUUUCGUCUGUCUCAUUGAUAAUUGCAUGUUCCAAAAAAACUGAAACCAUUUGACCUCACAAAAUGUUGUGGGCUCCACUACUUUUUAUCACUUUUAUCCUUUAAUUACUAUUCUUAUUAAUAACCGUGUCGAACAGUAAUGAACUAUUAUCAAUGGGAGGGAGGGAGUAAUAUUUUAAUUUUGUUUGCUGCCACCACCACCACCACCACCACAAUUUAAAAAAAAAAAUCUACGUGAAUAUAGUAAUUAUUAGAACAAAAAAAUAACUAUAAUAAUAAUAUAUUAAUCCGUUAAUUAUCUAUACUAAUAUAAAAAGUGCAUUUGGCACAAAAUAUAUAUUGCCUGUUAUAUCCCUAUUAUAGUAUUUUAUUUGAAGGACAACUUUGUAAAUUAUAUAUUAUAUAUUUAUAAGAAUAUAUUAUUUCAUUAGAUAUUACACUAAAUAUAUUUGAUAUAUAUCUAGAUCUUAUGCUAUAAUUUUUUUUAUAUUAAUUAAUUAUUAUAUAUUGUGAUUUAAUAGAAUUAUACAACUCUAAUAAUUUAUAAAUGUAAAGUUCAGGGAUUGCAUGCAAUGCACACAUUCUAUGCUAGAAAAAAAAUAGAAUUCACUAAGCCGAUGAUAAAUAACACAUACAACGUACUAUUUCUGCUAGUAAAUUAAAAAUCUAUAUGAUUUUAUCUUCUAUCACUACAUUAAUUAAAAUCUAUCUUCCGUUUCAUAUUAACGGUGGUUUUUCAAUAUUUUUUAUAUUAAUUACUACAUAUUGUGAAUUUAUUACAAUUGUUAACCUCUAACAAUUCAUUAAUAUAAAGUUGAUGGAUUGUGUGUCAUGCACAAACUCUCCUGUACUCAUCUAAAAGACUCUAUAUGUGAGAAGAAACCGCAGGAGAGUAAAAUGGUACAUAACAUAGAAUAGAAAGACUUUCACAAAAUAAAUGUUACAUUCUUCCCGUAGUCGGAAGGAGCAUGAAAAUGCGCGGUUAUUCGCAAGAAAGAAAGGCUCACUCAGCCACACAAAACAUGGAAAUCCUAAACACGGUGAUGCAGAGAUCAAGCGGUAACACGCGGGAUGAUCUUAAUACCACCGAUGGUAACAUCGUCGCCAUUAAUGUGGGGAACGAUAGUGACGACAAUGAAAUCAUCAUCAGCAAUAUUAAUGUUCUCAUAGAGUUCCUUCAGGUUCAAGUGAAGGUCGUUGGAGCUUUCCGUGGCCCUAACCCUGUGCGGAAUCUGCGUGAAGCACCCGGCGUACUCGGCCCUAUCGAGCUUCUGUGGCGUGUCGUCUGCAUCAUUCACGAACACAUCGAACCUCACGAGCUUCAAGCUAUCGCAGAUUAUGUCCUCCAGCACCAGCACUUCGUCGGCUUUGCCUUUGGUUGGUUUGGGCACCACAACCCUAUGAGGCUUAUUGAGAGUGAGAGGGAACACAUUGUCUCCGGUCUCCGCCGUCUUGGCGAGAUCUUCGGUAUUGACCGGUUCCGGCCGCUGAGGUGGCCGGCAGGUCAUCCAUGGUGUAUGGCUAUAUUCAUACUCGUAUCCCAUUUUUGUGUGGUCCAAGCAGUCGGCGACCUUAACGCGCACCAGCUUCCUCUUCUCGUUGUAGAACAUGAAGGAGGCGUUGUUGAAGUCGUCGGGGUUGGGGACGACGAGCUCGUUGAUAUCCUUCGGGAAAACGGAUGGGAUCGUUUUCCAUAUAGUCCACAUUCUGUCGACGUUAGCGUGAUGUGCGUAGAAGAGAGGGUCUCUUCCGGCGGAGUAGAAGUUCCCCAUGUCUUCGCGGAAAUUGUUGGCGGGGUUUCCGGUCCAGACAGCCGCCCUCCGACAAUCCUCCCUUGGAGCGUGGCGGGGGCAAGUCUCCGUCAACGUAAGGCUCGCCCAUGAAGUUGGUAGCGGAUUCGACAUCACCAACCAUUUCCUUGUACAGCUGAUUGAGGUUGUUGGAGAUGAUCUGUACGGGAUCGGUGAUCGGGGGGUUGGUUAGGGCAAGAGAAACGAUGGCCGGGGGCCGAUGCGUCGGGUCGCGGUUGACGUCGUAGAGUGGCGACGCGUCCCUGUCGAACAUCGAGGGCAUCUGCAUGCCCCUAGGGUUGUCCCAGUUCCAGUAGGGCAGGGCGAAAUCGAGAUCUCCGAUGAAUUCGCCCAUGAUUCUCUCGAAGAAAUAGAGGUACCACCUGUGUAGGGAUGAAUCCAGAAUUUGUCGUUAGGGGGGCUAAAUCUAAAAGUAUUUGCAGUGGGGGCUCCCGUCCGCAAGACAAUUUUUUUUAACCAUUCCGUAUAGAUUUAAUUGGCUUAACAUUAGAAAUCAGUCACUUACUAUAAAAAAUAGUUGUUCGCAUUCCAUUAAUUCAACAACAAGUACAUUUAAAGCAUAUACAAACCUACCUCUGUGCAAUUUUUUAAAAUAUUAUUUCGACUUCUAAAAGAAUAAACUAAUUUUCAUUGUUAAUUAAUAGUUCAAAAUUUUAGUUUAUCUUGAAGAUUAACUCAAAUUAAAUAUUCAAUAUUACCUAAUUAAACAAAAAUGAGACAAAAAUAACACAAAUUUUUAACAAACUAACCUAGCAAAUCACUGUAAAAUGUUAAGCAAUUCUUUCUUGUAUUUCUUCUAUAUAUUAAAAACAAAAAAAUUAGGGAGGGGGCUUCAGCCCCCGUGGAUCCGCCACUAACCUGUGGAAGGGGAAGAAGAUCCAUGAGUUGUGAACCUGGAUAUCGAUGCCGGGGUGGUCCACCUGGUCGUAGGGGCCGUUGCAGUAAGCGCAGUGGACGUUGGCCUGCUGAGUGAAGCCGCGGGGAUCGUUGGGGUCCGUCACGUCCAGAUCCUUCAUCAUCUGGAUGGCUUUCUCGUACUUGGCUAUGUAUUCCGGUGUCAGCCUGUGCGCCGCCGGCCUCCUGCGAAGCUUUGUGAACGUCGGAAGCGUGUACUCUUCCUCGUCGUCCGUGUAGGGCGGGCAGCAGUUGGCGUCUAGAGAUAUUAUCUCCCCGUUUCUAGAAGUAUAGGCACCUUUGGGAUCACACUUGCUCAGGUCAGGAGGUGAAAUCGGAACCGCCUCAGCUUUGCGGAUGAGGCCGCUUGCGCCGUAUAGACCACCCAGACCAAGCAGCAUGUUUCUGCGGUCUACACGGCCGCCGCCGCCUCCAUCACUGCUGCACGACACCUCAAAGCGGCGCCUCCGCCUGCUGGCGAGCUGGGAGGUGGUGCGGAGGUUGGGGUUGGUCGUGGUCGCCAUCACCAUGAAUGAAGAUUGAAGGGAAGCCAUGCUUGAUUGAUUGAUGCUUGCAUUGCGCUCGAGGCAUGCAUGUCUAUAUAUAGUAGGCGUGGACACGAGUUUUAAGAAAAAUAAUGAUACUUAAUGGGAUUAUUUUCGAAAAUGAAUUAGGAAGAUGUUUUGGAGACGAAAAUAGAAAAUUGACCUUUUGCCAGGCUGCCCUUUCACUAAAUGGUUGUAUGCACUUAUCUUUUUUUUAUCUAUAAAGAGGUAUUUUCUCCAUUUAAAAAACUUAUCGAGGUAAUUAUGAAGACUAUUCAUUUUUAUCGUUGUAAAGUUAAUUAAAUUAUAAAAAUUAAAGUUGAUAAAGUUCUUAUUAAACAUCAUCGCUCUUCUGUCUUUGGACGACAAAAUUAAUUAUUUCAAAUAGAUAAAGAACUUGAUUUUCCGAUAUGGCUUCUCAUACUAAUUAAAUAAUCUAAUCCUAUAAUGUAUUUCAUAUAAAGUUAUCAAAUUAACAAUAUUCUGUGUGAAUUUUUUUGCCUUGAGUGUGUGUAUAGAGGUAGUCAGGGCCGGCCCUGAGGGUGGGCGGGCAUGGGCGACGGCCCAGGGCCCCAAAAAUUUGAGGGCCCAAAAUUUUUAAUAUAUCCUAUUAAUUAUAGAUCUUAUGUAUACUAACAACAUAGUUCAUCUAUUGAUUUUGGGCCCAACAUAAUUUAUUCUCAAAUUUAGAUCUAUACUUAAUAUAGAGAGUUUUCAAUUUGAAAUCAAUUUCAAAGUAAUUUCAAAAUUGAGUGACUAUUUUGUAGUUAUAAUAUUAAUAAAAUUGAAGGUUUAUGUUUAAACUAUAUAUUUUUAUUUUUAUUUUUAUUUUCAUUUUCAUUUUCUUUAACUUCUUAUUUGUUGUUACAUUUCUUUCCAAAAUUGUGAAAUUCAAUUAAUUAUAAAAUAUUUAAUAUGCAUAUCAAAUUAAAGAUCACAAUAAGAGUUUUAAUAUGAUAUAUUUUAUGAAAAAUAUUUGAUUUAAAAUGUAAAAUUUAUGCAUGUUCAAAUAUUAAAGUUUUAUAAAUUUCUCUCACCUCUCUCAUCUUUACGAAUAAAUAUAUUUUUAAUUCUUUUAAAUUAGUAUUUUAUUUUUAAUUUUUUUAACUUAUUUUUUUGUUUUUGUAUUUCAUAAUAUCAAAUUUUAUAAUUGUGAAUUCUUUUUUUAUUUUUUUUAAUAUUCAAUUCAAAUAUAUAUAAUUAAAAUUAAUUUUUUAUUAUAUUUAUAAGUAUAAUAAUUAAAUUAGUAUUAAUUUUAUAUAAAUAGUAAAAACAAAAAAUAUUUCCCGUGCAUGAGAUGCAAAUGGUAGUUGCACCUCGCCGCCGGUAAUAUAUUUAAGUAUAUAAAUUAAUUAAUAUUAACAAGGCGCCCGGUGAUCACCGGAGGCAUCCUUGCCGCUGGUAUUUCUGCCGCUACUUUGAAAAAUACGGCCGUCGGUAAAUCUGGCCGCAAAUUGUGUACGUUUUUUGGUAGUGGUAAUAUAUUAGGGCCCAAUUUUUUAAUUUCGCCCAGGGCCUCAGUUUUGUCAGGACCGGCCCUGGAGGUAGUUAUAGAAUUUAUCUUUUGUGUUCUCAAAGGAACUUAAUUAAGAUCCAAUGUGAUUGAUACAUUUCGACUAAAUGGAUGGGCAAGAUUCUUUUAACGCCCAAUAUUAAUUCCAUCUCAAAUCGGAUCUUAUAUAAUACUGUAUUUUAUAUAUUCUAUAAUGCAUUUUAUAUAUUACGUGUCUAUUAAAUUAACAUUGAUCUUAGGAGUGAUACAAGUUUAAAAAAAAGCUAGCUGUAUAUUUGGUGAGUAGAGAAGGGAUUUCAGAAAUUAGAAAAAAUGGUGAUAGGUAGUGGAAUUAUUUUAAAAAAUGGACUAAAAAGAUGUUUCAUGAACGAACGAAAAUGGCAAAAUAGGAAGAUGAGUCGUGGUCGGAGGAAAUAUUAUAAUGCAUCGUAUCCUUUUUUGGUUCGUAUAAAGAUUUUUAUUUGAUCCUCAUCGAGAACAUGCAUAUUGCGAAUACUUAAUUUAUUUCAAUAUAUAUAUAUUAAUUUAUUGGGAGCAUAUGCUAAAUAAAUUAAAUUAAUCCGAAUCAAAAGCGCUUAAUUAUCACUACAUUACAUGCAUUAUGACAAAAAGCCUGCGGCUAAAGAUCUUCAGUUUAAGUCUAUUGUCAUAUUGUUUUUAAAAUAUUAUUUAUCCAUUCCGCAUAUGGAUUGGUCAGAUUUAGAUACACAAAUCUCAAAUGUAUUUAAUUAACAAAUUGAUUGAUAAAUUUUAGAAUUCAAAAAUUAAAUCAAUCAAAUACGCGUGUCCACAGUCAAUGGAUUGAAAAUAUGCAGGUAUCUAGAUAAGAUAUAUUAUUAUUAUUAUUACACUGUUAACUAUACUGCAGUACACUUUUAUAUAUACAGACAUAAUUAAAAUAUGCAGGUAUCUAGAUAAUAAGAUUAUUAUUACACUAUUAACUAUACUGCAGUACACUUUUAUAUAGAGAUAAUUACUAGAGAUAUGUGCUAUUACCCAUACUUCGCUCGAGACAGAAAUAAAUACGAUUGACCAUUCAAUUAAACACUACGACACCAUACUCGUGCAUGUACUAACGAUCUUAUUAUAAGUGCACCUUCCCGUGCGAUGCACAGGUCAGUAGAAUUGUAAUCGAUAUUGAUGUGAAUAUCAUCAUAUUCGAUUCGUAUUUGUGAAAAUACUCUAAUAUUUGAUUCAGCAUUCGAUUCGAUCACGAAUACUAAAUACGAUCCCAUAUUCGAUUCGAUGUUAUUUUUGAAUUAUUUGAUACAUUUUUUAAAAUUAAUUAAAUAAUUUUUUUACGAAUAUUCGAUUCGUUUUCCAUCAUAUUCAAUUCAAAACUAUUCGAUUUGAAAUUCUGAAGGAAAAAAUAUGUUAAAUAAUAUUCUAAAAAAUAUAGGAUUAUAUCCAAUAUAUUUACCUAAUAAUUAAACACACAAUAAUAAAGUGUUCAAUUCAUAUUGUUUUAUGUCCCGUGGUUUGUUUCUAGGAUUGUGGUAAUAAAGACUGAUUGGAUCAGUCUAGUACAGUUGUUGUUUGAAUUUGUAAUUUUGUGUAACGGCAUUGUCAUCUUGUUGAGAUUAAUAGGAGUUAAUUUGUUUAAUUAAUUAUUCAUGAGUUUCUUAUAAGAUACCUUCCUUCGUUCCGUAAAAAUAGUCAUAAUUUUUCAUUUUAGAACGUCCAUAAAAAAAUAGUGUUAUUCCAUUUAUAAACAAUUUAGAUCCUUACCUUUGGGAUGAGAUAAAAUGAAAUUCCAUUUUAAAUCAUAAACUAGCUAUAUAGGAAGCAUUUUCAGCUCUUGAAUUCAUCUGUUGUUCGAAUUUCAUAGGAAGCAAGUUUUUUUGACUCAUUAUUUUCACAGCGAAUUCAUCAUGUUACACAUACCCUAAAGUGAUAUAUUUACCCUAUUUGAUAACAUGAUAAGUAUAUUUGAAGCGCUCACUAUUUUAUUUGAACUUUAUUAUCGAGUUUAAACGAGUUUUGAAAUAUUGAAUUAAAUUGAAAUAUCCAUGUUGAUCGUUUAAGAAGCAAAUUUUUGGCAUGGGUUUAUAAAAAAUACAUCCUAGCCUCCAUCCCUAAUAAGUGCGGUGUGAAGGAGUGGGCAAUAGUUCUUUAAAAAUAAUUGAGAGAUGUGUAUAAAGUGGAUAAAAUGGCUUACUAGAGCUGAUUUGUUAGGCCUUACUUUCUCUCUGCCCCACUAAAAUAAGCUCAAUUCUUUUGAGAACAUAGAUUAAUAAACUUUCUUUUGAGAAGAAAAUUAAAGUGGUGGCAAAAGUAAUGUGGUCCAUACCAAUUAAGCAAUUUGAGUACAUUUUUUUUUUCACUCAAAAGGAAAACGAGCCUAUUCUAGCGGGACAUUCCAAAAUAGAAAACGAGCAUAUUCUGCUGGGACGAGGGAAUAAUAAAUUGUUUGUGAGAUGAGUAGUUUGUAAAUAUUGUGUGUGAAAGGUGUAUGUCUUAAAUUGAAAAGACCAUACCUGUAUUGUGAUUGUACGGAAAGGUGGAACUGAGCAUCGCGGCGGCGGCGAGGCAGGAGGCGGCGGUGGUGAGGAGAAUCGAGAGAGAGAGAGAAAGAUGCCAGCAGACAGUGACGGAGGGCAGUGGGCGGCCCUUGGCGGCAGCGGAGACGACAAGGUACUGGCUGUGCCAGAAUUAUUUAGUUGCAUAGGAUCCUUCCAAAUGUAAUUACUGAUUCACUGUUGGAUUAACAAGAAUUAAAUUACUUCAUAAUACAGUAUUCCAACUGUUCGAUAAAAGCCCUUAAUGAAAUCUUCCAUAGAUUACUUUGCAAAGUUCAUAAAAUUACUCAAAAGCAUUGUUGCAUAGUCCGUACAUAGAGAUGGUCGAUUAUCUUAAUUAUGUCUAGAUUUAUUUACGACACACACACACACACAUCACAAAAUCACACAUACUGACUAAUAAGGUUCCCGAAAGCCGGCAUUAUUAGGCGCCAUGGUGGCCGUGAAAUACCAUGAGACGAUAUCAUGGGUGGUGGGUCCGUCUAGUCUGGUGGCGGCGGAGAGCCCUACCUGAACCUGCUAAGGAAGAAAGCCGCUCAAAUCAUACUCAUAGCUGACUUCAAACGUCUUCGAGCCGGCGGUGGCACGGACGGCGAUCUACUUUGUGGAGGCGGCGUAGUUGAUCCUCGCCGUCACCUGCUGCUCGAGUAUGGAGCCGUCGACCUCCGUCGUGUUUCGGGAUGACCUAGACCCGAUGUCGAUGCCGAUGUGGGGAUAGUUCGGAUCCCACGCGCUGUUGACGUAGGUGUCGAACUCGACGGCAAAUACCGAGGGGUUGCUGCCGGAGGAGCCGAAGAUUCCGAGGUUGGCCCCGCUGGAGCCGGUGGGGAUGGUGGAGCGGCGAGAUUGGUGAUGCUGGGUGUGGUGAUGAAGUUUACGGUGGUUUCAAAGUCGACUUGGCCACCGGCUUGGGAGAAUUGGACCGGGUUCGUGUACAAGACCCGGCCGACACUACCGAUCUGCGGUCGCCUUGGUAGGUGAGGUCGGUCGGCUGGUUGUCCCAGAAGUUAUAGGCGAAGGCCGUUGAUCGGGACUUCGCCCUGUUGGUGGCGACGGCGAGAAGAAGGGCGAUGGAGAUUAGGGUUUGGAGAAGGUUGGCCAUGGCUUAGUUGUGCAGUGAAUGAUGUCUACUACUUGCUCCUAUUUAUAAUGAUCGAAAAUAUCUACUACUUACCUACCACAGAUCCACAUCAGGGGCCCUGGAUGGGGUGGUCGACUACAUAAGCCCAAAAAAAUAAGGGCUCGGAAAAUAUAUAGAUCCAUGUAAGUAUUAUAUAUAUGUAUAAAAUAAUUAAAAGCCAACUAAUGAUUGAAUUGAUUAACUUGGCGCAGUGGAAAAAGGACAUUUUUAAUUCCUCUUAAUUACCAAUAUUUUAUUUAGUGACCAAUUUUUUUGUUUAGAUAUAGGGCCCAGCCCCUAUUUUGAUAAAUUAAGUGUAUGUAUUUCAAAUUAACAUUAUUUUAAGUUGUCGAAUUUUUUUGUUAAGAUUUAGGGUCCAGCCCCUAUUUUGUUAAAUUAACUUUAUUUUAAGUGAAUGACAUAAUUAUUAAUAUAUUUAUUAAUUAUUAUGUAAUUUGAUAAAAAAAUGUUUUAAAUAAUUUUAGUUUAUAAUUAAUUUAUUUCUCAAUUAUAAAUAAAUGGCCUAAAUUAAAAAAUUCGCAAAGGGCCUAUGUUCUCUUAGCCCUACCCUUGCACUGUUGCACAUGGUAUAUAUAUCUAUUCUAUGAAUAUAAGUGAUUAUUUUAUAAACCACGUGAAAGCACUUGUUCCCACUAGCACUAUAAAAGCAAUAAAUACAACGGAAAGAAAAUAAAUUACAAUUGAAUACAUUAGGAGAAAAAUUACUUCUAACCUAUGGAAUUACUAACAACGAUACUUAUACCAAAGCUAAAUUGGACCAACUAACUGUACACUCUUGUAUUAUAUCAACCUACCAGACCUUAGUAUUCACGAGUCUCCCACAGUCUAGACUGAUUCACAAUAUAUACCAACAUUGGAACAAGUUCAGUAAUACACUCUAUUUAUAUAUAUUAUUAUAUACACAAAAAUGCAUGGCUGCUGUGGUAUUACGGAAGGAUCGAGAAUUACUCGAUCCUUGGGAAAAGGUUCAAAUGAAACCUUUAUUAUUACUCUCCGUCCCCCAAAUAAUAUCAUAUCCGAUUUGGGAUAUUACCCCACCACUAAUAAUACUUUAUUUAUUCUAACUUCUCAAUCUUUCACCAUUCUCAAUACUAAUUAUAACACAUUUUCAUCACUUUCAAUACUAAUUAUAAUUUCUUUUCUCCACUGCUAAUACGUACACUUAACAAUUUUUCCUUAAAACCAGUGUCGUCCCCUACUAAGAAGUUAUUUGGGGGACGUAGGGAGUAUUUUUUAAUGAUAUGGCAUCCAAAUAUGUUGUGACAAUCCAGUGAGCAAUAUCAACUUUUUGGAGCUGAAAACCGAUGUGAGGUACAACUAAUACACAAUAUGUUGUGGCAAUCCAGUAAUAUACCCUAAGGAUGCGUCAUCUUUUGUUGUAAAUUUAUCAUGGAAAAAUGAGGGAUAAACAAAAUUUCACCCAUUAAAUCCUUCAUUUUUUCCCUCAUUUCUUACAAAAUAGAAUUUGACCCUUACUCAUUUCUCAUUUUCACUGCAAAGGGGGGCUAAUAUUAUCUCUCUAUUUUUGGUAUAAUGAAGAAUUUGAUACGUAAUUACAAUUAAUUAUAAUGAAGUGUGUAUUUUAGUUGCUCAUAUUCUUGGAUUAUUUAUGCUUUAAUGAAACGAUCCACUGCCUUUAACAUUUUGGCAUUUUAAAGUAAACGCCGAAAUGCAACGAUCCACUGCCUUUUAAGUAAACACCCUUGCUAACCCCUGCAUGCGUUUUUUCAUCAAACACUUGGGUUCAUUCUUUUAGGCAUUUUAUCAAACAGUUGUGCUCAGCCUCAUCCUUUUGAUCACAUUCCCAUAUCUCUCCUUAUAUGAAACCGCAUUUUCUAUUUCUCAUAUAUUUCCUAUAUAAUAUUUCCAUCAUUUCUAGCUCAACAAUAAUUCUUCUAGCAAAAUUAUCAUUUCAAAUGCACUCUUUUCCUUUUCUACUUUCUCUUCUGCAUAACAGAAAUACUAAUCCACCAUAAAAUAAUCAUAACUUUUUCUUAAUGAUACGAUGAGGGCACAAAGUUGAGAUGAUAAAAUCAUACAUAUUGGCGAAUGUUGCCGCCGGCUUCCUCUGACUUUUGGAUGCUGAGGGGAGGGGUGGCGGUGAAAUACCAGGAGUUGAUGAUGAAUUUGAUGGUUGUUUCCAUGUCCACCUGCCGCAGAGACCGAGAUACGAUUUUAGAAACAAACGGCAAAAUUACAAUUUCACAUAUAAAAAAUAAAAGACAAUUAAUAAAGCGCAUAAUAUUGGUAAGAUGCUUCCAACCAAUAGGUCGGGAUUGUAUAUCGUGUGAGUGUGUUUUUCAUUUUUUAGUAAUAACAUGUCGUGCUCGGGGCUUUUUUCCGUAUCUGCCCCUGCUUCCCGUCGUCGUGCCCGACUCGUCGGUUUUUGUCAUGCGGAGGUAGGUGGUGGCGUCGGUGAAGUUGGCGUCGCCUUCCAAGCGUAGGCCUUCCGAAUGUGGCGGCUUUUGGUAGAAGUCGUAGGUGAAGGAGACUGCAUCGCCGACCGACACGGUGGCGAGGAGGAGGGCGAUGGAGGAGAGGAGAGGAAUUAAGGUUUGGAGAAGGUUGGCCAAUUUGAUUAAAUGUAUUUGGAUGUAGUGGAUGAUGGUGUAUCGAUCUCUUGCUCCUAUUUAUAGUUGUAAAUAUAUAUUAAUAAUGGUAUCAUUCAAUCAUUAUACUUUAGGCCGGCCGGGCCGGAUCCUCUAUUCCAAAUUCUAUGUCUCAUUGUUCAUAUUCACUAUUAAUUUCACUAUUUCAAUAAUUAAAAAAAUUCAUAGAGUUUGGGGCAGAGGAUCCCGUUUGAAUCCCACAUGGAUCCUCUGUCCCAUAACUUAUUGUGUUCCUUCCCAUUAUUAAUCUCGAUAUUAUAUUUCUACUUUGGAGUUAAUUCAUUAUAAACCCAUGAAAGAUCAGACGAAAUUCAUCCAAUAAACAUUUAUAAAUUUAUAUUUAAAUUUUGUUUCGCGGGUAUCUGAUAGAUAAUAGGUAUUCGUGGGUGGCGAAUUUGGGUAGCAUUUGAUAUUCAUAGAUAGUUUCAUGAUUAAAAUCCAAUAUUCAUUUAGUUCACGGGUAUGGUAUGACAGCCACUAUCUGUGUACGUCAUACCUGAUUGCCAGUAUGACAAAUAUAAAAGUUGUGAGAUGCACAGCAGCUUAAUUAUUCAAAUAGAAAUAUCAUCACAUGUGCAUUGAUAUUUCACAAAAUAAAUACUACUACUAAUAAAUACUCCCUCCGUCCACCAAAGAUAUGCCACUUUACUUUCGGUACGAGUUUUAAUAAAAUGUGAGUGAAGUUGGUAGUGGAGUAAGGGUCCCACUUUAAAUGUGAGUGGAAUGGUAUGGACCUUACUACUAAAAAUGGAUGUGGCAUAUUUUUCGUGGACGAACGAGAAAGAAAAUUGUGGCAUAUCUUUGGUGGACGGAGGGAGUAGUACUCAUUGAUAAUGCAUGCCAACACAUGGUUCUUGCAAGUCAUAUAUAUACCUCAUCAGCAAUAUAGUAAAAUGAUGAUUUGACAACCAGAUUAAGACACCAAUUAUUCUUGUCGGGACACAGACAUAUAUGCAUAUAGAAUUAAUAUUAUUUACUAUUUCGUUUAUACACGUGAAUUAUGCUUUGGAUGCAACAUCGCCACGUCUCUUUCAUUUAUACUUCUCUAGUGUAUUGCGGACAAAAUAGUUAGUGUCUUUAAGAAAUUAAAAAUUUUCAAAUACAUAAGAAAGAAUAAUUAAUCUAAUUGGUGCGCCGGCAACUAAAACUUUUUUCAAUUCACUUUAUAUUUUAUAUACUCCCUCCGUCCACGAUUUAAUGCCCCAUUUUAGUGUGGGCACGGAGACUAAGAAAACUGAAAAAGGUGAUGUGAAUGAAAUAUAAGGGUAGUUGACUAAAGUGAUAAAGAUGCUGUGAGUGGGUUCACUAGUGAUAAAGUAUAGGAAAUAUAGAAUAUAAAAAUGAUAAAGGUGUUUUAAGUUGGGUCCAUUAGUGGCAAAGAGUAAUAAAUAUAGAAAAAGAAGAGUAAAAAAGUACAAAAAGCAUAAUAGGGCUUUAAUUUGUGGACAAAAAAUUAAGAGCAAGUAGGGCUUUAAAUUGUGGACGGAGGGAGUAUUUAACAUUACAAGUCAAUUGCUUGCAGAAUUUGAGCUUGUCUCCCGUGAUGGAGACCUCACCAUGCGGCAACCCGUGCCUGCGCCUGCCUUUUUUCUUCCCGUCUUGCUCUAUCCAGAUAUUAUACGUGAUCCAACUCUUUCCAGAUAUUAUACGUAAAUGAUAAUUUUACUAACAAAAAUUACACUUUUUAUCAAUAACAAAUGAAACUAUGCAUACAAAACAGGAGGUAAAUGAUAUUUUUCUUAAUAACAACUGAUACUUUUUCAAUGCAAAUAAUACUUCGCAAAUGAUAUUUUAAUAUAAAAGUAAAUGAUACUUUGUAUAAAAAUAAAUGUUAUAUUACAAAUGACACUUUUAAUGCAUACCAAUGACACUUUUAAUAACAAAAAUUGAGAAAAAAAAAUUAGAAUUCGGCCUUAAUUAAAAUUUGGACAACAUUUAUUUGGGCAAAGAAGAAAAACACCUGAAUUUUUUUUUUUCCUUUUUUGAGAGAGAAAAACUCAUGAAAUUUCAUGCAAAAGGUAAUGCAUAGCCAACCGGGCUCAAUCAUCUUUCGGCGGUUUUGGUUUGAUUCUUCCAACAUCUAGGGUAGCAUUCACACAAAAUCAACUCGUGUUCAAAAAUCUGAAAUUAAAAUUAACGAUGUGUCUCAGUAUAGAGAUAAGAACAUACCCCUCAAAUGGUUCGAGCCAAGGUCUAAUUCCUUCAGCAGUGUGAUAUUCCAAAUUUGAGUAGGCAUAUAUCCGCCAAAGUUGUUGUCUGACAAGCGAAUACUCUCAAGUUGUGGACAUUGGUACAAACUCGAUGGUAUAUCUCCUUCCAAAUUGUUAAAGGAUAGGUUCACUAGUUUAAGUCUUUGAAGGUUAUUGUACGUGCNUAGACAACAAGAAAUAUCUAUUGUCUAUUCUAUGACAAAAAAAUUAAAAAAUUCUAAUAUAUCUGCAUCCCUGUAUUACAAUACCAAUAUAUAUGAAAAAAUAAAAAUAAUUAAAAAUCAAAUAAUCAAACAAUACUUAUAAACCACUAAUACUCACAAUCAAAUAUUUACACAUCAGUGUAAAUAUUGGGUUCGAGUCCUCUGCGUGUGUUGAUCAAGCGGUAAGGGGUUAAUGCCUAAGGUCAAAGGUCUGGGAUUCGAGUCCCCUGUGGUGUAGCCUUUUAAUUUCGUUAUUUAAUAUUGUAAAUUUAUAAAAAAAAAAAAGUAUAUUUACACAUCAACAAUUGUAUUAUCUUUAAUACGCCUUCAUUCAUCUAAUAAAAAAAAUCUCUAAUAAAAUCUCCAACUAACUCCGGUCAUGAUCAUCUCUUGAAGGCGGAGGAAGGUGGAGUCCGUCGGGAAAUGGGUACUGCCUUGAUAGAUGAGAUCUUUCGGCUGGUCGCCCCAGAAGUCGUAGGUGAAGGACGUCGUUUGGGACAACGCCGUGUUGGAAACGGAGAGGAGGAGGACGAUGGAGGAGAGGAGAGGAGUUAAGGUUUGAAGAAGCUGGUUGGCCAUGGCUUAAUUGAUUUAGAUUUAGAGAUGUGGUGGAUGAUGGUGGUAUCGAUCUCUUGCACCUAUUUAUACUAGUAUGGUUCAUGCCUGUUAAUAAUUGUAUAUAUCAAUCAUCGUGCAUCUAUCCCAAAUUAUAUGUCUUAUUAUUCACUAAUUAGAUGGAUUAAAUCCUGAUUAGUAACCAUAAAAUUAAACUGUCAAUGAGGCCUUGCUCUAGUGGCAAAGCUGUGACACCGAAUAACUUUUCUUUGUGAAAUGUCUUGGGUUCAAUCUCGCCUGCAUGCGGUGAUGUGUGUCCAUUUUAGGUGGUGUGGUAUUCUUGUCUGCGUGCGGUGUUGUAUUGUUUAGUGUUGAGGUCCCACAUGCAGAGCGUUCUUGCCUGUGUACGUGUCACAGCCCAAAACCAUUUAUUUUCUUUACAAAUUUUAUAUAUGAAAAUUAUUUAAUUUUUAAGUUAUAGAGUUUUUGAAAUAUAUAUAGUAUCAAUUUUAUGUUAACUUAGUCGUGUCCCUAAUUAAAAGAAUGACUUUAAAAUAAAACUUAAGCCUUAAAAAUUUAAUCUACAUUCAUAUAUAACUGAAAUUACAUGCAUGUCUAAAUAUUAUUUAUAAUUAUCAAUAACAAGAUUAAUGAUUCUAUAUCUCUAUGUUUAUACAUGUAUUCACGUAUGACAUAGUAUAUAUUAGCUAUUAAGUUAAAAACUAAUAAAAUACUACACUUUUGCAUAGGAUAUAUAUUUAAUUAGUAGUAGGAUAGGACACGUGUAUUAAUUUUAAGGGCAAGUAAUCAAACUUUUGAAUGAUUCAUCAUGCUUAAAAAAAAAAGAGACCUAGAUAGAUGAUUCAUCAGAUUCAAAAACAAGUAUAAAUAGACUUCGGGUUUGAAAUUUUAAUUAAUUUGCAACAACAAUUCAAACUGACUGUAUUAAGGUAAGUAGUUACAGAUUUCAUACACAUAUUAUAUGAUUUCGCACACAUAUUAAGGUAAGUAUAUAUAAAUAUUUUUUAAAAUCAUAUAUUAUAUAAUAAUUAUAUUUAAGUUUUAUAUUAUUCUUUAUAAACUAUUGUUUCAUUCUAUAUAAUUAGGUGUGGCACGACUAGGACGUAACUUUCUAUUGAAUUUCUCAAGUUAAUCUUAGAGUUCAAGUUUCAGGUGUGAGAUUUAUUUAAAUACAUGUCGUACGUGGUUAUUUAUUGUCCAUUUUAAUAAGAUGUGUUUACCAUAUGUGUUAUGACGCAUAUUUUUAGGAUAUCACUAGGUGCCCAUAAAUAGGAUCCAGGACUUCACCGUCCUUGGAUUGCCACAAUGCGAUUUGAGGUUUAUUUUGAGGAUGUCGUUAGGGGCCCGUACAUAGGGUCCAGGACUUUAAUAGUCAUUGGGUUGCCAUAGUGCAAAUAUUGAGGAUAUAUAUGAAGUGACCGUAUGUGUUACCGUUUCAUUAACGUGGACAAUGAUUGCAUGUUUAAGAGACAAUAACCAAUUUUUCAGACAUUUGUGAACAAAAUGAAGCAUGUUUAGAGAUCCUUAAUACAGGUGUACGAAAUGAUGGAUAAAUAAGUUUGUGAAACAAAUUUCACCAUACCUAACCCCACAAUUAUUUGCGGUCGAAUUUCCUCGUCACAGGAAAAAGAGAUGAUGACAAAAGGGAAAAAAUUAAUUAACAAAGUAGAAGAUGCAUGACAACUGUAAAAGAAAAAUAAUGCUACUAAUUAAAUAGUCCAAACUUCAUACGUUUCAUAUCAUAAGUGGCAGUUCUAUUUUUUUUUUUGCGAAUGUGAACAAAAUAACGAAUAAUUUUUAAAGUAAUAGUAAUAAGGAGAUGUGUUUUGACAGAAAACGACAUGAGCGGCCUAAAAAUAAGAGGGAAAAAGAUAAUCAUAUAAAUAUUCAAAAUCAAACGGAUUGGCAUGUAUUCAUCAUUUUUUAUUUUUUAUUUUGAUAAUUUAACAGUACUCCCUCCGUCCGUCAAAAGUAGACCACUUUGGUUGGGCACGGGAUUUAAUAAAAUUAGUGAUGAUUUUGAUGUAGUAGAGAAAGAGUUCCACCACUUUAUGAGAUGUGUGGUUGAGAUUGAAUUUGUUGUGAUUUUUUUGUAAAUAAAGAGUGUUUGUAAGGAUAAAAGAUUAAAGUGGGUGGUGGGACCAUUUCCAUAAAAGGAAAGUGGUCUACUAUUUGCGGACGCCCAAUAUAGUAAAAGUAGUCUACUUUUGGCGGACGGGGAGAGUAUUAAAUAAAUAAAUUUAAAGGUUGCACCCCUUACUGCUUGGCUUUUAGAUUAUGUUAUAAUAAUAAAAUUAACAGCACGUUUACAAUAUAAAAUUAAUUAUGAUAAAUACAAUAUAUUAAUAAUAAAUACUCAAUUACCUCUUAACAUAAUUCGCGCAUCAUGGCUUUUAGCUUAUAUUAUAAAGAUAUAAUAUGUUGUCUAUAAUAAUCGACGGAAGGUAAUAGACAACAUGUUUUAUAUGUUGUCUAUAAUAAUAUAGACAGUAGAUCUAGUGUUAUAGAUAACAAUUAAUACUUGUUGUCUAUAUGAUGAUAGACACCAAAAAUCUCUGUUGUCUAUUCUAUGACAAAAAAAUUUAAAAAAAUUCUAAUAUAUUUACAUCCCUGUAUUACAAUACCAAUAUAUAUGAAAAAAUAAAAAUAAUUAAAAAUCAAAUAAUCAAACAAUACUUAUAAACCACUAAUACUCACAAUCAAAUAUUUACACAUCAACAACUGUAUUAUCUUUAAUUACGCCUUCAUUUAUCUAUUAAAAAAAAUCUCUAAUAAAAUCUCUAACUAACUCCGGUCAUCAUCUCUUGAAGGCUUAGAAAAUGUCCAAAUACAGCGGCACAUGCUCAUUAUUGUGUGAGCGAUGAGAACUUUGCGCUGAACCUAUAAAGUAACUAUACUUAACUGGUAAAGUAAUUGUAUCCCGUGAAUCUAAAGGAAGACUACACACGUUGAUAGAGUUUGAAAGAAAAGAAUAAAGAGAAUGAAAAUCCAAAGAAUUUGCUUCUUCCGUUGAACAAUCCCUACACAACAUUGAAAUAUCAAUGAAAAUAAUGGCUAUCGUAUACUCCCUCCAUCCAUGAAAGAACUUCAUAGGAGGGAGUGACACGGGUUUUAAGAAAAAAUAUUGUUAAGUGUAUUGAGAGUGGAUAAAAGGUAGUUGAGUGUAUUGGGAGUGGUGAAAAUGUGUUAUAGUUAAUAUUGAGAGUUGUGAAAAGUGAAAAGUAAGAGGAUUAUAAGUGGUGGGGUAUAGUCCAAAAAUAGGUAGGAAGUUCUUUUGUGGACGUCCCAAAAAGGAAAGAUAUGAAGUUCUUUCGUGGACGGAGGGAGUAUUAUUUUGCAGCAGCAACCACGUUUGAAAACUCGAUCCCUCUGUUCUUGAAUUUGUGAAAUUUCCGACUGAUUUAUUAGAUUCACCAUUUAUUUCAGUUUAAUUAGUCUAUAUAUAGAUAUUUCUUAUAUUAUUAAAUUGUUAACCUCAUGGUAGAUUUCAAGAUUUGAAAAUUCAACAAAGAGCUUGAGAAUUAUUGAGAUUGGAAGGGGAAGAUGAAACAUAAUUGGGUGAAAUUAGAAACCAAUUAAAGUCACAAGAUUGAACAAAAACAUAACUUAAAAACACAAAAUAAGCAAAUCGUAGAUGCAGUAUCUUGCAAGAAAAAGUUCAUAUUCCCAAGGCUAUGAUGAGCACGAAUUAGGGUGUGUCUGCAUUUUAUCCCUCUAAAUAGAGGAAUAACAAAAUUUUAUUCUUUAAAUGUUUGCUUUCUUAUCACACAUUCUACACAAACACCAUUUUUUCUUCCUUAUUUUCACUUCAAGGAGGANUAAUAUUAUCCCUCCAAUUUUGGUGUGAUAAUAUUAUCUCUUCUUGAAGUGAAAAUAAGGAAGAAAAAAUGGUAUUUGUGUAGGAUGUGGGAUAAGAAAGCAAACAUUUAAAGGUAUAAAUUUUUGUUAUUCCUCAUUUAGAGGAAUAAAAAGCAAACACACAUUAGAGUCUACUUACAAUUUAGGCGCAGGCUGUGCGAGAAUUACUUAGUCGAAUAGGAUCCUAAGUAUUUAUAUUUCUCAUGUUCUUGUGUAUUUUUUUACUGAUUCACUAUUGGAUUAACAAGAAUUAUCUUACUUUAAAUUUCUUGCUUUAAAAAAAAAAAAGAAUUAUCUUACUUCAUGUAUGGUAUGCCAACUGUUCGAUAAAGGUCCUUUUAGAAAUCUUCUAUUGAUUACCUUGCGAAGACCACAAAACUAGACACACCCAAAAGCAUUCUUGCAUAGUUUAUACAUAGAGAUGGCCGAUUGAUGAUCGUCUUAUUUGUAGACUUAACGCGAGCAGACUCGAUCGCUUAGUCCUUAUUGAUUUACGACACACAUGCUCACACACACACAUACACACAUCACAAAAUCACACAAAUUGACGGAUAAUGUUGCCGUUCAGCUCCUUCCUGAACCUCACCGCGGCAUUUUUCUGCACCAUAGUGGCCGUGAAAUACCACGAGACGAUGUCAUGGACGGCGACGUGUUGUCCGGUGGCGGCGGAUAGCCCGACCUGAACCUGCUGAGGAACAAAGUCGCUCAAAUCGUACUCAUAGUUGACAUCAAAUGUCUGCGAGCCGGCGGUGACUUUCACGGAGAUCAUCCUUGUGGCUCCGACGUAGUUGAUCCGCGCAGUCACCUGCUGCCCGAGUAUGGAGUUGUCGACCUUCGUCGUGUUGCUGGAUGCCCUAGAGCCGAAGUCGAUGCCGAUGUGGGGAUAGAGCGGAUCCCACGCGCCGUUGACGUAGGUGUCGAUUUCGACGGCGAAGACCGAGGGGCUGUUGCCGUUGGAGCCAAAGAUUCCGAGGUUGGCUCCGUUGGAGCCAGGGGGGAUGGUGGAACCGACGGGGGCAAUGAAGAAGGCGAGGCCGUCGGCAGGCUCGUUGUCGGCGCCCGGGGUGAUGAUGAAGUUCACAGUGGUUUCGAAGUCGACCUGCCCACCGGACUGCGAGAAUUGGACCGGGUUCGAGUGCAAGACGCGGCCGACUUGUGAGGGCUGUGCGUCUGUGAGGCGGAGGAAGGUGGAGUCCGUCGGGAAAUGGGCGCUGCCUUGAUAGAUGAGAUCUUUCGGCUGGUCGCCCCAGAAGUCGUAGGUGAAGGACGUCGUUUGGGACAACGCCGUGUUGGAAACGGCGAGGAGGAGGGCGAUGGAGGCGAGGAGAGGAGUUAAGGUUUGAACAAGCUGGUUGGCCAUGGCUUAAUUGAUUUAGAUUUAGAUUUAGAGAUGUGGUGGAUGAUGGUGGCCAGGUAUCGAUCUCUUGCACCUAUUUAUACUAGUAUGGUUCAUGCCUGUUAAUAAUUGUAUAUAUCAAUCAAUCAUCGUGCAUCUAUCCCAAAUUAUAUGUCUUAUUAUUCACUAAUUAGAUGGAAUAAAUCCUAAUUAGCAAUCUUAAAAUUACACCGCCAAUGAGGCCUUGCUCUAGUGGUAAAGCUGUGGCACCGAAUAACUUUUCUUUGUGAAAGGUCUUGGGUUCAAUCUCGCCUGCAUGCGGUGAUGUUUGUCCAUUUUAGAUGGUGUGGUAUUCUUGCCUGCGUGCGGUGUUGUAUUAUUUAGUCUUAGGCGUUCUUGCCUGUGUGCAUAUCACUGUGUGACAAUUAAAAGAAUGACUUUAAAAUAAAAGUUAAGCCUUAAAAAUUUAAUCUACAUUCAUAUAUAACUGAAAUUACAUGCAUGUCUAAUUUUUUUAAUAUCAUAACAAGAUAAGAUUUAUUAAAUAAUUCAGAUGCAUAAAUAAAAAGUUAAUCUAUAAACACAGUAUAGAUAUAUUAUCAAUGAUAGGCCGUGUAUAAGUCUUAAUCUGUAAAACUAUAUCAUCCCAGCCUUAAACGACUACCAUUCCUGCUUUCCCAGAGCAACCACACUGUUCCCACCCACAAAGCUUUAAGCAGUACAUGCAUGUCUAAAUAUUAUUUAUAAUUAUCAAUAACAAGAUUAAUGAUUCUAUAUCUCUAUGUUUAUACAUAUAUUCACGUAUGACAUAGUAUAUAUUAGCUAUUAAGUUAAAAACUAAUAAAAUACUACAGUUUUGCAUAGGAUAUAUAUUUAAUUAGUAGUAGGAUAGGACACGUGUAUUAAUUUUAAGGGCAAGUAAUCAAACUUUUGAAUGAUUCAUCAUGCUUAAAAAAAAAAAGAGACCUAGAUAGAUGAUUCAUCAGAUUCAAAAACAAGUAUAAAUAGACUUCGAGUUUGAAAUUUUAAUUAAUUUGCAACAACAAUUCAAACUGACUGUAUUAAGGUAAGUAGUUACAGAUUUCAUACACAUUAUAUGAUUUCGCGCACAUACGUAUGUAUAUAUAAAUAUUUUUUAAAAUCAUAUACUCCCUCCGUCCCCAAAAUAAGUUCCUCUUUGGGGACGGCACGGAUUUUAAGGAAAAGUGGUAAAGUGUAUUAAUAGUGGAGAAAAAUAUGUUAUAAUUAGUAUUGGAAGUUGUGAAAAGGUGAAAAAGUGUUAUAAUUAGUAUUGGGAGUGGUGAAAAAGUGAAAAGUAAGAAUAAAUAAAGUAUUAUUAGUGGUGGGGUAGUUGUCCAAAAAUGGAAAAAAAGAAAGAGGAACUUAUUUGGGGGACAUCCCAAAAUGGAAAAAGAGGAACUUAUUUCAGGGACGGAGGGAGUAUUAUAUAAUAAUUAUAUUUAAGUUUUAUAUUAUUCUUUAUAAACUAUUGUUCCAUUCUAUAUAAUUAGGUGUGGCACGACUAGGACGUAACUUUCGAUUGAAUUUCUCAAGUUAAUUUUCAAGUUCAAGUUUCAGGUGUGAGAUUUAUUUAAAUACAUGUCAUGAUUAUUCAUUGUCCAUUUUAAUAGUAUGUGUUUACCAUAUGUGUUAUGACGCAUAUUUUGAGGACAUCGCUAGGAGCCCAUAAAUAGGGUCCAGGACUUCACCGUCCUUGGAUUGCCACAAUGCGAUUUGAGGUUUAUUUUGAGGAUGUCGUCAGGGGCCCGUAAAUAGGGUCCAGGACUUUAAUAGUCAUUGGGUUGCCACAGUGCGAAUAUUGAAGAUAUAUAUGAAGUGACCGUAUGUGUUACCGUUUCAUUAACGUGGACAAUGAUUGCAUGUUUAAGAGACAAUAACCAAUUUUUCAGACAUUUGUGAACAAAAUGAAGCAUGUUUAGAGAUCCUUAAUAAAGGUGUACGAAAUGAUGGAUAAAUAAGUUUGUGAAACAAAUUUCACCAUACCUAACCCCACAAUUAUUUGCGGUCGAAUUUCCUCGUCACAGGAAAAAGAGAUGAUGACAAAAGGGCAAAAAUUAAUUAACAAAGUAGAAGAUGCAUGACAACUGUAAAAGAAAAAUAAUGCUACUAAUUAAAUAGUCCAAACUUCAUACGUUUCAUAUCAUAAGUGGCAGUUCUAUUUUUUUUUUGCGAAAGUGAACAAAAUAACGAAUAAUUUUUAAAGUAAUAGUAAUAAGGAGAUGUGUUUUGACAGAAAACGACAUGAGCGGCCUAAAAAUAAGAGGGAAAAAGAUAAUCAUAUAAAUAUGGGUUAAUUGCCUCUAAAUACACCACCUUUCCUUGAAUUCUACAAUUGCACAUCACCUUUAAAAUCCGCCCUUAAAUACACCACCUUUCCUUGAGUUCUACAAUUGCACAUCACCUUUAAAUCCGCCCCAAAAUACAUCAUCUUUAUAUUUUUUCUGUUUUUGCACAUGACUAAAAAAUUCUCAAGAAAUAAAUUAAAGUGUUAAUUUAUAAAUUUAAAUAUCUUUUUAGCAGCGAAAACAUAAUAAAAUAAAAUUCUUUAUAAAGUUUAAAAUCAUAUAUAUAUAUAUAUAUAUAUAAGUAUUUUCGUAAAGAAAUAAAUUCUCUAAUAAAUUUUUAGAAAGAACUUGAAUUAAAAAAAUAAACAAGUCAUGACAUUAAGAAAAUAAAAUGAAAUUUUUAUUUUAAUAAAUUUCACACGAAUUCGAUAUAAUUUGGAAUUUAGAGUUACAAUAAUCAGAAGUACCACAUGAAUAAUAUAAUGAGUUUGAAAGAAAUUUUUUUUAAAGAGGUUCGACACGCCCAUUCGACUUUCCACGCGCCUCCAAUGUCAUUUACCUGAAAUAUUAANUAUAUAAGUAUUUUUCGUAAAGAAAUAAAUUCUCUAAUAAAUUUUUAGAAAGAACUUGAUUAAAAAAUAAACAAGACAUGACAUUAAGAAAAUAAAAUGAAACUUUUAUUUUAAUAAAUUUCACACGAAUUCGAUAUAAUUUGGAAUUUAGAGUUACAAUAAUAAAAAGAACCACAUAAAUAAUAUAAUCAGUUUGAAAGAAAUAUAUAUAUAUUUUUUUAAAGAGGUUCGACGCGCCCAUUCGACUCUCCACGCGCUACCAAUGUCAUUACCUGAAAUACUAAAUAUGGGAUAAGCAUACAUAAUAUACUUAGUGUGGGAACAUGCAAUUAUUGUCCACGUUAAUAAAAUAGUAACACAUACGAUCAUAACAUUCAAAACGACACAAUUUUGCCAAUAUGGAAGCCACGUCAUUUAAAGUGGUAACACCCUAAUCUAACUAAAGUGUUAAAUAUAAAUUUAAAGCGGAAAUAUAAUAAAAUAAAGUUCUUUAUAAAAAUAAAUAAAGAAUUUUAUUUUAUUAUAUUUCCGCUGCUAAAAAAGAUAUUUAAAAUUUAUAAAUUAACACUUUAAUUUAUUUCUUGAGGAUUUUUAAGUCAUGUGCAAAAACAGAAAAAAAAUAUAAAGGUGAUGUAUUUUGGGGCGGAUUUAGAAUUCAAGGAAAUGUGGUGUAUUUAGGGGCGGAUUUUAAAGGUGAUGUGCAAUUGUAGAAUUCAAGGAAAGGUGGUGUAUUUAGGGGAAAUUAACCCUAUAAAUAUUCAAAAUCAAACGGAUUGGCAUGUAUUCAUCAUUUUUUAUUUUUUAUUUUGAUAAUUUAACAGUAUUAAAUAAAGAAAUUUAUAGGCUGCGUCCCUUACUGCUUGGCUUUUAGAUUAUGUUGUAAUAAUAAAAUUAAAAGCACGUUUACAAUAUAAAAUUAAUUAUGAUAAAUACAAUAUAUUAAUAAUAAAUACUCAAUUACCUCUUAACAUAAUUCGCGCAUCAUGGCUUUUAGCUUAUAUUAUAAAGAUAUAAUAUGUUGUCUAUAAUAAUCGACGGAAGGUAAUAGACAACAUGUUUUACUUCUUGUCUAUAAUAAUAUAGACAGUAGAUCUAGUGUUAUAGAUAACAAUUAAUACGUGUUGUCUAUAUGAUGAUAGACACCAAAAAUCUCUGUUGUCUAUUCUAUGACAAAAAAAUUUAAAAAAAUUCUAAUAUAUUUACAUCCCUGUAUUACAAUACCAAUAUAUAUGAAAAAAUAAAAAUAAUUAAAAAUCAAAUAAUCAAACAAUACUUAUAAACCACUAAUACUCACAAUCAAAUAUUUACACAUCAACAAUUGUAUUAUCUUUAAUUACGCCUUCAUUUAUCUACUAAAAAAAAUCUCUAAUAAAAUCUCUAACUAACUCCGGUCAUCAUCUCUUGAAGGCUUAGAAAAUGUCCAAAUACAGCGGCACAUGCUCAUUAUUGUGUGAGCGAUGAGAACUUUGCGCUGAACCUAUAAAGUAACUAUACUUAACUGGUAAAGUAAUUGUAUCCCGUGAAUCUAAAGGAAGAAUAAACACGUUGAUAGAGUUUGAAAGAAAAGAAUAAAGAGAAUGAAAAUCCAAAGAAUUUGCUUCUUCCGUUGAACAAUCCCUACACAACGUUGAAAUAUCAAUGAAAACAAUGGCUAUCCUAUACUCCCUCCAUCCAUGAAAGAACUUCCUAGGAGGGAGUGACACGGGUUUUAAGAAAAAAUAUUGUUAAGUGUAUUGAGAGUGGAUAAAAGGUAGUUGAGUGUAUUGGGAGUGGUGAAAAUGUGUUAUAGUUAAUAUUGAGAGUUGUGAAAAGUGAAAAGUAAGAGGAUUAUAAGUGGUGGGGUAUAGUCCAAAAAUAGGUAGGAAGUUCUUUUGUGGACGUCCCAAAAAGGAAAGAUAUGAAGUUCUUUCGUGGACGGAGGGAGUAUUAUUUUGCAGCAGCAACCACGUUUAAAAACUCGAUCCCUCUAUUCUUGAAUUUGUGAAAUUUCCGACUGAUUUAUUAGAUUCACCAUUUAUUUCAGUUUAAUUAGUCUAUAUAUAGAUAUUUCUUAUAUUAUUAAAUUGUUAACCUCAUGGUAGAUUUCAAGAUUUGAAAAUUCAACAAAGAGCUUGAGAAUUAUAGAGAUUGGAAGGGGAAGAUGAAACAUAGUUGGGUGAAAUUAGAAACCAAUUAAAGUCAGGAGAUUGAAGAAAAACAUAACUUAAAAACACAAAAUAAGCAAAUCGUAGAUGCAGUAUCUUGCAAGAAAAAGUUCAUAUUCCCAAGGCUAUGAUGAGCACGAAUUAGGGUGUGUCUGCAUUUUAUCCCUCUAAAUGGAGGAAUAAUAAAAUUUUAUGCCUUUAAAUGUUUGCUUUCUUAUCACACAUUCUAAACAAACACCAUUUUUUCUUCCUUAUUUUCACUUCAAUGAGGGAUAAUAUUAUCCCUCCAAUUUUGGUGUGAUAAUAUUAUCCCUCCUACAAGUGAAAAUAAGGAAGAAAAAAUGGUACUCCCUUCGUCCCAAACGAAAUGUCCUGUUUUCCUUUUUGGGCUGUCCCAAACGAAAUGUCCUGUUUCCUUUUUUGGCAAUACACUCUCUCUCUAUACUUAAUAUUUAAAUAAUUUUCACCAACCCACUUUAUCUACUUUAUACACAUUUCUUAAUCUCCGUGCCGAAAAGAAAUGGGACAUUUCGUUUGGGACGGAGGGAGUAUUUGUGUAGGAUGUGGGAUAAGAAAACAAACAUUUAAAGACAUAAAUUUUUGUUAUUCCUCCAUUUAGAGGGAUAAAAAGCAAACACACCUUAGAGUCUAAUUACAAUUUAGGCGCAGGCUGUGUGAGAAUUACUUAGUCGAAUAGGAUCCUUAGUAUUUAUAUUUCUCAUGUUCUUGUGUAUUUUUUCACUGAUUCACUAUUGGAUUAACAAGAAUUAUCUUACUUUAAAAAAAAAAAAGAAAUGAUCUUACUUCAUGUAUGGUAUGCCAACUGUUCGAUAAAGGUCCUUUUAGAAAUAUUCCAUAGAUUACCUUGCAAAGACCACAAAACUAGACACACCCUGCAUAGUUUAUACAUAGGGAUGGCCGAUUGAUGAUCGUCUUAUUUGUAGACUUAACGAGAGCAGACUCGAUCGCUUAGUCCUUACUGAUUUACGACACACAUGCACACAUACACAGAUACACACAUCACAAAAUCACGCAAAUUGACGGAUAAUGUUGCCGGCCAGCUCCUUCCUGCUCCACGCCACGGCAUUUUUCUGCACCAUGGUGGCCGUGAAAUACCACGAGACGAUGUCAUGGGUGGCGACGUGUUGUCCGGUGGCGGCGGAUAGCCCGACCUGAACCUCCUGAGCAACAAAGUAGCUCAAAUCGUACUCAUAGCUGACAUCAAACGUCUGAUUGCCGGCGGUGACUUUGACGGAGAUCAUCCUUGUGGCUCCGACGUAGUUGAUCCGCGCAGUUACCUGCUGCUUGAGUAUGGAGCUGUCGACCGGCGUCGUCUUGCUGGAUACCCUAGAGCCGAAGUCGAUGCCGAUGUGGGGAUAGAGCGGAUCCCACGCGCCGUUGACGUAGGUGUCGAUUUCAACGGCGAAGACCCCGGGGCUGUUGCCGUUGGAGCCAAAGAUUCCGAGAUUGGCUCCGUCGGAGCCAGGGGGGAUGGUGGAGUCGACGGGGGCAAUGAAGAAGGCGAGGCCGUCGGCAGGCUCGUUGUCGGCGCCGGGGGUGAUGAUGAAGUUCACGGUGGUUUCGAAGUCGACCUGCCCAUUGGACAUCCAGAAUUGGACCGGUUCCGAGUACAUGACGCGGCCGACUUGGGACGGUUGUGCGUCUGUGAGGCGGAGGAAGGUGGAGUCCGUCGGGAAAUGGGCGUUGCCUUGAUAGAUGAGAUCUUUCGGCUGGUCGCCCCAGAAGUCGAAGGUGAACGACGUCGUUUGGGACAACGCCGUGUUGGAAACGGCGAGGAGGAGGGCGAUGGAGGCGAGGAGAGGAGUUAAGUUGGCCAUGGCUUAAUAGAUUUAGAUUUAGAGAUGUGGUGGAUGAUGGUGGUAUCGAUCUGUUGCACCUAUUUAUACUAGUAUGGUUCAUGCCUGAUAAUAAUUGUAUCAAUCAAUCAUCGUGCAUCUAUCCCAAAUUAUAUGUC